RNAcentral lists this long non-coding RNA (58746 nucleotides) under Capsicum annuum. RNAcentral describes it as "long non-coding RNA (CANN_LNC003809)". The stretch from base 25380 to 25451 matches the Rfam family "tRNA". Lineage: Eukaryota; Viridiplantae; Streptophyta; Magnoliopsida; Solanales; Solanaceae. The record is from RNAcentral.
CAAGUAAUCGCAGCCCGAAUCAACACAUGCUUCAGCAACGGGCUCACCGUAAAGACGAAACGGGCCGACACAGUUGAGAAUGAUCUUAGUCCGGGAAGCAAGGUGACGAAGUGAAGAUGGAUCGUUGGUGUCGGCGGCGAUAAUGGGAAUUUCGGGUGGCGGGUUCGGGCCGGAGGCCCAUUGUAGAGCCCGGGAAAGCCUGGAAGCGUUACGGCCUGCUAUGGCUAAGUUUUUCAAUGGGGAAGAUGAAACGUUGAGGAAUUUGAGAGCUUCUCUAAUGACGUGUUUGCCAGUAAAACCUGAAGCGCCUAAGAUUAUGACGUCGUAAGUUGGAUUUGGACUGAGUUUUUGUGACAUGGCUCGAUUGGUAAUAAUUGUAUAACAUGUUGGAUAGUAUCCAAAAUGGUCCAAUAUUUUUGGCAAAAUGGUCCUAUUGCUUUUGUAUGUAGCAUUAAUAGUCCACAUCUUUUGGUAAAGCAAAGCACUUAUGACCCAGCUUCCGUCAAUUUGUUAACGGUCUCCACGUAUAUAUGCCUCACGUUAUUUUUUUCUUUCCCGCCAAACUAAUCUCAAUGCUGCUGCUCCUCCCUGUAUUGAAGCGCAUUUAAGGCGCGCCAUAAACAGGAACAGAAUCAAAUCCACAGGCCGAAACAACCAACGAGCCAUUUUCCACAGCUUUAUCAUGGUACUUCACUUCCAUCCUCUCCAUAAACUCAGGCUCUCCACAAAUAUCCAAGUAAUCGCAGCCCGAAUCAACACACGCUUCAACAACGGGCUCGCCGUAAAGGCGAAACGGGCCGACACAGUUGAGAAUGAUCUUAGUCCGGGAAGCAAGGUGACGAAGUGAAGAUGGAUCGUUGGUGUCGGCGGCGAUAAUGGGAAUUUCGGGUGGCGGGUUCGGGCCGGAGGCCCAUUGUAGAGCCCGGGAAAGCCUGGAAGCGUUACGGCCUGCUAUGGCUAAGUUUUUCAAUGGGGAAGAUGAAACGUUGAGGAAUUUGAGAGCUUCUCUAAUGACGUGUUUGCCAGUAAAACCUGAAGCGCCUAAGAUUAUGACGUCGUAAGUUGGAUUUGGACUGAGUUUUUGUGACAUGGCUCGAUUGGUAAUAAUUGUAUAACAUGUUGGAUAGUAUCCAAAAUGGUCCAAUAUUUUUGGCAAAAUGGUCCUAUUGCUUUUGUAUGUAGCAUUAAUAGUCCACAUCUUUUGGUAAAGCAAAGCACUUAUGACCCAGCUUCCGUCAAUUUGUUAACGGUCUCCACGUAUAUAUGCCUCACGUUAUUUUUUUCUUUCCCGCCAAACUAAUCUCAAUGCUGCUGCUCCUCCCUGUAUUGAAGCGCAUUUAAGGCGCGCCAUAAAAAAAGACACAGAAUUUAGCAUCACAUAUUAGUAAAUGAUCAAAUCAUUUAUGCUUGUUAACUUGAAAUUUUUCGGAGGAACUUUUUUUUUUUUUUUACAUCAAGUUAGCUUUAUUAAUUAUGUUUUUGAAAAUAUAAAUUUGAGUUUAUAAUUGAAAAUAUAUAUUUAGUUUGAAACGAAGGGAGUAUUAGGAUUAAAGCUAAUUGUUUGGUUAGCCAAUGAAGAGAAAACUGUUAACUAAGGAGAGGAUGAUUUUAGAGAGUAGAUAUAUAUUACAGAUCACAGAUGAUGAUGGCAUUUGCUGCUUUAACUAUAUAUAUGUAUUUGCAAACUGUAGGAAGAAUUGGAGAUCUGGGACAGGCAUCAUGAUACAAAAGAAGCGGGCGGACUCUCCUGAUUAGUUGAUAGCAUAAAGGAAGGAAGUACUGGAUGAAGGUUUUAAAAUGUUUUAACUUAACAAGAUAGCCCAAAACUCCAUUUGGGAGUAGAUAAGGAGGCAUGAAAAGAAAUAAGCUACUUCCAUCGGAUCACUUUAAUUGUCGUCGUCCUUGCUAAAAAUAAUUGUUAUUUUAGAAAACUAAUUACUCAUUUAGUCCUUAAUCAUAAUUAUUCUUGGUUGUAAUAGAGUAUAUAAUUAUUGAGUAAUUAGCAUGAAAAUCUAAACGAAGAACACAUACCCAUACUCCAAUAUUCAUGUGAUUGCUUUGCUUAAAUUAACUCUCUUUAAUUUUGAGAUAUUAAAGUGAGAAUAAUUGUUGAAGAAGAAGAAUCACCUGAUGAGAGUAAACAAGAAAAUGAGAGAGUGAGGAAGAGCAACCCUUCAAAGGUUACGUAUUCUUUGUGGUUGUUUUUGGGGGGUUUUAAAUGGGGAUAGAAGGUUACAAAAUUUGGCAAGAGUGGACAAGCUCAAAUAUUUCCUAACUGAGAAUUUUGCCAGGACCAAAAAUUUAUGACUAUGAUUUAUGAACGUGCAUUAAGGCGAGAUAUUGUUUUUUCAUCAAAUUAAUUUAACUUUUCAUUUCUUUUUAUAGAAAGCUUUUUAAAAAGAAAAAAAAAAUAUUGGGGGAGGGGAUUACAAUGUGGAGAAUUGAACCCUCACCAACAAGGUGGGAGUUCACGUAACUAACCAACUAAGCUACUAAGAUUUCUCUCUUUUUUUUAUAGAAAGCAUUAACGGGUUCGAAAUUUUCAUACUUAGAAUCAAUUUUUUUUUUCAUAUUUAUCCUUAGCAUCAAUUAUUCUAGAAUUAAGUGACACGUAAAUGAGUAGAAAUUAAAGAAUUAAUAAGAAAUAUAUUGGUCAAAUUAUCCUUCUAGUAAUUUUUUCUUAACGAUUGUACCAAAAAGUAUCCUAACAACUAAAUGGAAAUGGGGGGAUUAGUAGACUAAUCUUUUUAGUAAUAUUUUGAAACUCUAAAUUUGAUUACUAUUACUUUGUGUGGUUAUUUAAUAUUAAGGGUAGUAUGAAAAACAAAACCAAACUCUUAAUUUACUAAAAUGAACAAAUAAAAAAAUAUUUUACGUAUAAAGGCCGAAUUUAAAAUAAAAAGGAGAGAGUAAAUACAUAUUUAACAUAUUGGUACAAUACAAUUUUUUCAGUAAUGGGUGUUAAUUAAACAAGAGGGACCAAACUGUGCAGCACUAAAGUAGUGCAAUGGAAAUGGACCCGAAAUAUUUAAAACUAGGUUCCUUUUACUCUAUAAAAUUCAAUAGCAAUAAGAAGGUAUAAAUACAUACGCAGGGUGGUCCAUGUGCUAUCGAGUUCAUCUCAACUCAAUACUUUUGAAGUGGGUAUAAAUUAAUGAAUAAAAUUUAAUAAAAUUAAAAUAAAUAGUAGAUAUGAACUCACAAUUUUAAAAUCAUAACAAGAGAUAAAUGAUUAAGAACCUUAAAGAUUGAACCUGUAGAGUUGAAAUCUUUAAUCCGCCUCUAUACAUAAAUAUAUUCAGCUCAGAUAAUCAAUGAGCAAGCAAAGCUGUCAUAGAAGAGUCUCAGUUUAAUUUUUGCUGCUUAGUUAAAUUCGUCAAUGGUAGUUGAAUCGAUCUCAAAUUAAAUAUAGUUUGGAGGCUAUGUUUUUUUUAAAACUAUUUUACCUUCAUCCAUGCCUUAAGAUAUAAUCUGUUUUUCAUUAAGUAUUUAUUUUAUUGAGAUAUUUAUAGUCUUCAAAAAUAAUUACUAUAAAAAAUAAAAUAGAAAAAGAUAAUUAAUUUCGUCUUGAACUUCUAACAUCACAAAAUGAAUAAUUUGAGGUAACUAUUUUUAGAAAUUAAGGCAAACAAUUUGGGAUGGAAGGUGUAAUUUGCACAGCCAACGGCCACAUACAGGACCUCAACCCCCACUUUACCAAAAUAAUUAUUAAUACGUAUUAAAUUCAAUCAAGUCUCGAAUCAGUAGGAGUAAUUACUACUACUAGGUUAGGUACAGUGUAGAAUUACAUAUAUGUCAUUCAGCUAUUUUUUAAUUUUUUUUUUUAAAAAAAAGGCAAGCGUGACAAAGAUUAUAUUUCCAAUAAAACAUGCAGAAGAAAUAGAAAACUUUGGACUUAAAAAAAAGUGAUUAUAUAAGAAGUCUCAUCUCCUUAAUAAUGCAGUAAUCUUAUUAAAUGGCACCAUAAUUAUUGCUUGAGCGAAAGAAGAAUGAAACCUUGACAUAUACUACAAUGCAUAGAUACAUGAACUACCACCUCUAUGGAACACAAAGACGUCAUUUUUAAAAAAUAAUGAAACGUUAUAAUUUUGGCUCUUUUAGUUAAACCAAAAAAUUAAAGAAAAAAACUUAAUUAUGUAAGAAGAGUUGAAAAAAAAUUGCUAGGCUGACGGAUUGACACGUAAGUUACAAGUUUGGAAGUACCCAAACUAAAGCAUGUUAUUGCAUCUCUUAAUUGAUUUUGAAUUUACACUUGAAUUCAAGUGCGUCUUACAAGUAGUAGUAGUAAUGAAUAUGGGUAGCUGAAAGUUUUAAUGGAAUGUAACCUACAACAAUCAGCUUUAUAAUACUCCCUCCGACACAUAUUUUAAUUGUAUGUGUAAAAGAAAAAGUAGACAACUAAAAUAGGAUUAAAUGCAAGCAAGUCUUGGUCCAAUAGGUGGUGUUACAAAGACCCGAAAAGCUCCACAGAUCUAUGACUUUUUUGAUCAUCUUCAAUCAUGGGUUAUGAUGUGACUAAAAUCUCUUGCAUAGCAACUUAAUAUUACUUUUGAGGUCUCUUAAGCCUGUGUAUGGGGUUAUAAUUUAUUUUUUAUGUUUUAUUUCCUGCAUAUGAGGGUAAUUUUGAAGCCAAUUACCGUUGGAAACGUUGUAAAAAGUAAAAUCUAAUAACCUGAUGAUCAUUGUUAUAUUCUAGGCUUCCUCAAAAAAUCCAAAAGCCUUCCCAAUCACCAUGUAUAAUUUAAUAUGCUAAAAAUUGAUUCCUUUACUGUUCCUCAAACUACCAAACAAGCAUAUGAAAGCGAUCAACUACCUAAUUGUACUAAACUAUUCGCAUUUUGUUUUCACUUCUCCUUUGAAUUCGACACAAUGUCAUCUGCACCAUACCUUAAUCAUUAAAAAACAUCUAGCUAGUCAUUCUGUUUCUGCAUAAAUCACUCUCCAAUUCAUCCAUUUGCACCAGUCAUCGAGAUGUCUAAUUCUAUCGUCAACUCUGCAAAGCCAGUACAUAUAUUAUUUCUCCCUAGUGGUCUGGGAGUGGGACAAAUGGUUCCAUUUUUUCGACUAGCUUCCAUGUUAGCUUCACAGAAAUGUAAAAUCACCUUUAUCAUCAUGCAGCUUGAAAUAUCUACCACAAAGUCGAGUUUCAUCUCCAACUAUUUCGCCGAUCACCCAGAAAUCAAUCGACUAGAUUUUCAAAUUCUUCCCUUGAAUACAUCAACCUUUCCAAUCAAUGAUCCAUUCAUCAUGCAAAUUGAUGCUAUUAGUAACUCGCUUCACCAGCUCGGCCCUCUCGUGUCUUCUUUGAAUGAACCAGUUUCUGCUAUUGUCUCUGACUUUAUUAUUGCAUCUAGUCUUUCACAGAUUGCUAAUAAUCUCAACAUUCCUCUUUACAAUAUCUCCACAACAUCAGCUAAAUUUUACUCGAUUGUGGCAUACCUUCCUGUACUGUUGUCCAAAGAUCCUGCUGCAUUUAAGUACUGCUCGAGCAAUCUUGAGAUCCCAGGUUUAGGAUCAGUUCCAAAAUCAAGCAUCCCUCGUUCUUGGAUGGAUGAUUCACCAUUGAGCUAUGUAUUGAAAGCCUACUUACUGCCAAAUGCUCGAGCUCUUCCUCAAGUGACUGGCGUCUUUCUGAACACCUUUGACUGGUUUGAACCAGAAACAAUUGCUGCCCUUGAUGAUGGAAGAGUAACCAGUUCUCUUCCUCUUGUUUUUCCUGUUGGUCCUAUGGAAGAUUACAAGCUAGGAGAAGACACUCAGUGUUCAUGGUUAGAUGACCAACCUGCUGAAUCAGUUGUAUAUGUUAACUUUGGAACUAGAGAGCCGAUUUCUUCACAACAACUAAGAGAAAUAGGAAAAGGACUAGAGAUAUGCGGAUAUAAGUUUCUAUGGGUGCUGAAAGAAGAGCAUCUAGAGUUGUUUGGGAAUACAGUCCUGGAAGAGAUGGAAAAGAAAGGGAAAACAGUGAAACCAGGCGAUUAUGAGGAAGCUAUUAUGAACCAUACAGCUAUUGGACUUUUCAUGAACCAGUGUGAAUGGGAUUCAGUGAUGAAUGCAGCUUGGUCAGGAGUGCCAAUACUGGCAUGGCCACAUCAUGGUGAUCAAAAGUUGAAUGCAGAAAUUGUAGAGAAGGUAGGAUUGGGGAGGUGGGUAGAAGAAUGGGGUUGGGGUGAGGAAAAUCUAGUGAAUGGUCGGGAGAUUGCCGAAAUGGUGAAAAACUUUAUGGGAGAUGUUAAUAUGAAGGUAAACGCUCUGAAAGUGAGGGAACAAGCUAGAAAAAUCAAGGGAAUUGGAGGGAGCUCUGAGAAGAGGCUAAGGAAAUUCAUCAAAGCAUUAAAGGCAGAACAAAAAUGAUGUACCUUGACACCAUUCUUGGAAGGUUGUCAUCAACUAUAUUGCUCGGACUCUCCAAAAAUGCAGCUACACCCGAGUCAGAUCCUUCAAAUAUGCACUACUUUUGGAGGAUCCGUCAAGCACCUACUGGAAUUUUUGAAGAGUCGGAGCAACAUAGGUUAUCAACACUUCCUUUCAGUUGUUGAUCCUCUGGUUGUAAAAAUAAUUGUUAAUUGGAGCCUUCUUGUUAAAGUCAAAAGAUUGUGGCCCGUCAACACAAAGAAGUUGGAACACAAUAAGAAUCAAUGCAGUCAGCUGUAGCAGUGUUAUAGGUGUAAACUGGAAGCUCCUGAUAUCGGAGAUCCACAGGAGUUUAACAUACCUAAAAAUUGUUAAACGAAAUAAAGCUUAUCCAGUAAUCUAAAAACGUUAAGAGAAAGAAAAAUGGCCACGGAUACAAGAUUUAAUCCUGGAAAGAAAAAUGUUGACAAAGCACCUGAAGGCAUUAAGAAACAAUAACAACAACAACAACAACCCAGUAUAUUCCCACACAGUGAGGUCUGGGGAGGGUGAAACGUACGCAAUCCAUACCGCUGCCUCCGAAGAAGUAGAGAGGUUGUUUCCGAUAGGCCCCUGGGGCUCAAGAGAGAGAAUAGUAUAGCAAGGUUGUAAUGCAACUCGAAACAGGAUGUAUAAAUAAUAACAGUAAAUAUUAAGGAAAUACAAAAUAAGUAAAGUACAAGCAAUAUGAAAUAAGAAAUAGGAAAACGGAUACUCUCCUAGUAGUAAGCAAUACACUCACAGACCUAAGAGGACUACCACCCCCACACUCUCCUAACACCUAGCCCCAACCCACACACUCACACUAGCCUUCAACCCUAAUCCGCGACCUCCACACCUUCCUGUCUAGGGUCAUGUCCUCAGUAAGCUGCAGUUGCUCCAUGUCAUGCCUAAUCACCUCCCUCCGGUAUUUCUUUGGCCUAUCUCUAUCCCUCCUGAAGCCAUCCAAAGCUAGUCUCUCAUACCUCCGAACAGAGGCAUCCGUGCUCCUCCUCAUCACAUGCCCAAACCAUCUCAACCUGCCUUCUGUCAUCUUGUUCUCCACCGAAGUCACUCCCACCUUCUUUUGGAUAAUCUCAUUCCUGACUCUAUCCCCUAUAGUGAGACCACACAUCUAACGCAACAUCCUCACUUCCGCCACCUUCAAUCUCUGGAUAUGGGAGUUCUUGACUGACCAACAUUCAGCUCCAUACAGCAUGGCCGGACGGAAUGCCACUCUGUAGAAUUUGCCCUUAAGCUUAAGGGGCACCUUCCUAUCACAUAACACUCCCGAGGCGAGCCUCCACUUCAUCCAACCUGCUCCAAUACGCUUAGAGACAUCCUCCUCAAUCACGUCAUCCCCCUGAAUCAUAAACCCAAGAUACUUAAAACUAUCUUUCUUACAAACAUCCUUAUAGUCCAACCUCAACACCACACCGUCCUCCGGACUCGAGUCACCGAACUUGCAUUCCAAAUACUCCGUCUUAGACCUACUCAACCUGAACCCUUAGAUUCCAGAGUUUGCCUCCAAACCUCCAAUUUCUUAGUCACACCCUCCCUUAUCUCAUCAAUCAGCACUACAUCAUCCGCAAAUAACAUACACCACGGCACCUCACCUUGAAUACUCCGCGCCAACACGUCCAUCACCAACGCAAAAAGGAACAGGCUAAGAGUCGAUCCCUGGUGCAAACCUGUCUCUACCGGAAAAUGCCAUGAGUCUCCUCCCGCCGUCCUCACCCGACUUUUCCCUCCAUCGUACAUGUCCUUAAUAGCUCUGAUGUACGCCACCUGCACUCCUCUCACCUCCAAGCAUCUCCAAAAAACCUCCCUAGGGACUCUGUCAUACCGCCUUCUCCAGAUCGAUAAACAUCAUGGGCAAAUCCCUCUUCCUUUCCCUAUACUGCUCCACCAAUCUUCUCACCAGGUGAAUUGCUUCCACCAAUCUUCUCACCAGGUGAAUUGCCUCUGUCGUCGAGCGACCAGGCAUAAAACCAAACUGAUUCUCUGAAAUGGACACGACCCUCCUCAAUCUCCGCUCAACCACCCUCUCCCAAAUCUUCAUAGUGUGACUCAACAGCUUAAUUCCCCUAUAGUUAUUGCAACUGUGAAUGUCACCCUUGUUUUUAUACGAAGGAAUCAUCGUACUCCAUCUCCAAGCCUCAGACAUUCUCGCAGUAGUGAAAAUGGCGUUGAACAAAUCAGUCAGCCACCUUAAGCCUGCCCCACUAGCAUACUUCCAAAAAUCCACCGGGAUCUCGUCGGGCCCCGUCACCCUACCACUCUGCAUUCUACGAAUAGCCUCUCUGACCUCCACAACCUUAAAACGUCUCCAGUAACUGAAAUCGCGGCUCUUCUCCGAGCGCUCCACUCCCCUAACACAAUGCCUCUGUCCCCUUCCUCGUUUAAAAGCCUAUGAAAAUACUCCUGCCAUCUCUUCUUAAUGUGAACAUCUUUCACCAACACUCUACCUUCCUCCCCCUUAAUGCACUUCAUUUGAUCGAGGUCACGACCCUUCCUCUACCUAGCCUUAGCAAGCCAUACAACCUUUUUUCCCCGCCUUUCUCCUCUAACCCGCAUACAAACCCUCAAAUGCUGCUGUCUUAGUCGCCGUAACUGCUAAAUUAGCCUCUUUCCUUGCUACUUUGUAGACCUCCCUAUUCACCCGCUUCUCCUCUUCAUCCUUACUCUCAAUCAACUGAACAUACGCCCCCUUCUUGAUCUCCACUUUCUUGUUAACUUCCUCAUUCCACCACCAGUCCCCCUUAUGUCAUCCUGCUCGACCCCUCGAAACACCCAACACCUCUCUAGCCGCCUCCCUGAUGCAGUUGGCCGCCUUAUUUCCCACAUAACAUCCACGUCCCCCCUACACUCCCACACCCCCAUUAAGAAAGCAUAUCAAAAUUUACGAAAACAGUCGGAAGAAACAAUGCAAUUAAAGCAAAAGUAAUUAGUUUCAUUUUCCCUUAGGAAGAAGUUCAGGUUUCCCCAUGCGACUAAAAGGGCACAAACAUUAAGUUAGACAGUAUUCUUUGAAAUAACAUCAAAAGAUAUUCCAUUCUGUUGAAGCAUGUCUUGGAGGUCUGUUGGUCCAAACACGAUCCCGGGCGGUAAAACACCUCCCUUUGGAAGAUUGUGUCGUUCCUUGAGCAAAAUGAGAGCACACUGGACUAGAAUGAUCGGAGUUGUCAAAUAACCAACCUCAGGUCCCAUUACUCUUGUAAUUAUCUCCGUAUCAGGCUUCCUGUUUCCUUGAGAUGCAAGACUGCCAUCGCUAAACCCGUGUCCGACAAACCACAUCUUAAAGGUAGCACUUGCCACUUCAUCUUCAGUUGGACCUUUUUUCCUGAACCAUCCAAGACUGAACAAUGAAGGGAAUUUCAAUAGCAGCCACCUCCCUAUACCAAUUUUAGCAAAGAGACCAAUGAACACACCAACUGUAAUGAAACGAACAACACCUAAUACAGAUUUUGAAGCUAUCUUCACACUGAAGUGAGCUGGUUUUAUGCUUGACCAAAAUGCCUCCCUCCUCUCAACAUGUUCAGUGCUUUCAUUAACACCUGGUAAACCAUUAGGAUUUUCAGCCAAACAUGAAAGUGUUCUUCGGACUACAAUGGCAUCUGCUGAUGGUAACUUUACAGCCCAAACGCCAAUUUCCUUUUGGUGGUCCAUCAACGGACCAUUAGGAGGACGAGGACCAGGAAUCUAAGCAAACAGAAAAAUGUUAGAGAGAGAGAGAGAAUAUGUUUCACAGAUCUAAUGUGUUAUUUGAUAGAGAAAACACUGACAUAUACUGUCCCCACAGCAGCAUGGUACGUAGUAUGGCUUUGUGCAAUGAUUAAUCUAGCAAAUGUAGCAGGUAUCAAAUAAGCCCAUCUCUAACAACAAAUCUCUAUUAAAAGUACGCUUGUAAUAAAAAAGUUGAUCCCUGUCAUACACGGAUUCAGUCUAUCUAUCAUAAGGUUAUGAAUUUCUACCAUUACUCAUCAGCGCCAUCACAUAUCGACUACGACACACAUUUUAUGGAAAGAGUUAAAUUGGCUCUCAAAGAUCCUCAUAUAAAAUAAUUUUUAUAAUCAUGCAAUCAUUCUGUAAAAUGAGGAAAAGAACCUUAAUAUGAUUGACUUUGGACUUUGAUUGCAGUUUACACCUUCAAAGACAUACUGAUUAAUUGACUUCUAAUUUGUAAAGACAAAUUGCUUCUUAACCUACAUUACUCCUCCAGUGAAACAAAAGAACAGUGAAACUAGAAUACUUCUAAAGAAUUGACGUGUAUGACUGUGUCAAAACUUCCGAGGACGGAGCAUACUCCUGCACCUUUUCUCCAUAUCUUUUCUAGGUAGCAUUACACUUCCACAGUAUUUAGGUCUAAUUCCAUUACUCUUUCUCAAUACUGAUGCAAUCUUUUCAAGACAAAAUCACUUCUCAUUAAGCAUCAACUCCACAACCUAUCUACCAUCAUUCCUGCCACUUAAUUAGCCGACCACAGGACCAGACUGCAUCAGAUAGUUGUUGGCCGUAUCAAGUAGACUGAUGUAUUCAUGAAACUACAUGUACAUAUAUGUAUGUGAAUGGCUUCAUAGAAGAAGAAAUGAGUGAAGCAUAAAUCUGGAAGUUUUCACAGCAGUAAUCAAUGUUUAAUACCACUCACAGAUUGGUUCAGCUUAUAUUCAUCCAAUAUCCCAUGACACAAGAUUUAAGUGUCAAUCAGUUAAAAUCAGAGAGGGAUGUAUUGAUUGAGAAGCACACUCCGAGUAUAUCAGUUUCAAUUUCUUCUGAUAUGGCUAAGUAGUGGACAACUUAAAUUUACUUAAAAUUUUCUCCACAGAAAAUGCAAAAUUGCCGGAUACCCUGAAUAGGGAAGCCAGAUACAAAUGUAUAAUCAACACAUAAAUAUUAAGUUAUAUUUUUUUCCCGCAUGAGUCGUGUAAGGUUCUCUUUUGUUGAUAACUAUGGUGUCUAGGUGAGCUUGCGAUGGGUAACUCUGUCCACCAAGGUUUGGAUAGAUGGGAAGAAAUUACCUAGUGUUUUUGCCUCCGAUGGAAUUUGAACUGAGACCUCAUGAUUCUAAACCUACUACAUCGACCACCAUAUCUUUGGGUGCAACGUGCAAGGCUUUCAAGGGGUUCACGGAAUCACAGGCUACUCCACACAUAGCCUUAAGGUUUGGUGUCCGGUACUCAUAUUCUCUAACAUUAUACACAGUGGCACAGUCAACAUUUGACAAGUUCAUUCUCAAACUCACAAUCCCAGCUGAAGUUCACACAACCUCAAAAUCGGGUUGCACACAUGGGAGGGGUCAAUCUAUACUUGUUUCCUUUCUUACAUGAGCUAUCUAAUGGCUAUUAAGAAGCUUCUAACAGUCUUUGCUCUUGCAUUUGCAUCUAUAUCCAUUAAUUUUUCGCGCGAAAUGCUCAUUUUCAAUUCAAUCCAAGAUCAUCAAUAACAAUAUGAAAUGGAACCUACCAACAUAAAGAAAAUGCUUACCACAGGACGAGGCCUCUUUGGUCUGUUCCGUCUUAACUCCAGUAAUUUAUCCGCAUUAGCCACGCCAAGCACCGCUGAUUCAUACGUUGCAAAGUUUCCAACAAUUCUCUUAUCCGAUUCUAAACUAACGUAAGCCUCAACCGAAUUAGGAACAGCCGGGGACAACCACUGCCUUGAAUUGAACGAACAGAAUCAAACCCACAAGCCGAAACAACCAACGAACCAUUUUCCACAGCCUUAUCAUGAUACUUCACUUCCAUCCUCUCCAUAAACUCAGGCUCUCCAGAUAUAUCCAAGUAAUCGCAGCCCGAAUCAACACAUGCUUCAGCAACGGGCUCACCGUAAAGACGAAACGGGCCGACACAGUUGAGAAUGAUCUUAGUCUGGGAAGCGAGGUGCCGGAGAGAAAACGGGUCGGUUGUGUCGGCGGCGAGGAUUGGGAUUUGGGGUGGUGGGUUUGGGCCGGAGGCCCAUUGUAGAGCCUGGGAAAGUUUGGAAGUGUUACGGCCAGCUAUGGCUAAGUUUUUCAAAGGGGAAGAUGGAACGUUGAGGAAUUUGAGAGCUUCUCUAAUAACGUAUUUACCAGUAAAACCUGAAGCACCUAAGAUUAUCACGUCGUAUGUUGGAUUCUGAGACAUUUUUGUUGGAUUUGUUUAUCGAUUUUGGGUUAAUGGAAGGGAAGAGUGUUGAUCAGACAGUUGGACUUUGAAGACGAAGAGAACAAGGAGAACUAGAAAUGUGUGCCGUAACUGCGAGAUUCCCUGAUUCGGUCUCCUGUAUACCCGAAGUCUGCUGUUUCUUAUUACUCCCUUCGUCUCAAAUUAAGAUAACAUAAUAAUUAAAAAAAAUAAUUAAUAACAUAUUUAAUUUAUCAUAGUAUUAUUAUAUUUAUAUUUUAAUUUAAAAAAAUAAUUAAUACAAACGAUAAAAUAUAAAGAAAAAAAUAUAUUUUUUCUUGAUUAUUGAAAAAAAAUAAGUAAAAUGAAAAAUCAAAAUAGAAAAUUUGAAACGGAUGAAAUACUUUUUUGUUAGUCCUCGAAAAGAUAAAUACUUUUUUUUGUAUGUUUUUAAAAUAUAAUAUUAAAAUAUAUUUUAAUAUAUUUAACAUAAUUUUAAUUUAAAAUAUAAUUUUUAUUUUAAAUUUUAUGUCAAAUCAAAAUAUAUAAUUCUUUUUAGAACGGAAAAGGUACAGGUGUUUUUUUCAGUUACACAGUAAACCAAUACAGGGACUCUUUGCACUAAAACUUCAAUCAACAUUAUGACUAUGUAAACCACAAAAUGCAAUUUUUUAUUGAUUACAACUGUGAGCUGGAAACUACUGGAUUAAGUCAAGCGUGUUGCCUCAAACCCAAGGAUCGUUUGGUAGAAUGUAUUUAAAAAAAUAAUAUAUAUAUUAGUUAAUGUGUAUUAUUUAUAUUUUAUUUGGUAUAUUUUUUAUUUUAUGUAUAACUAAUAUUUACAUUAAUUAUACACUCUAUAGUGUAUUAGUAAUAUCACUUAUUUUCUAUGUAUUAAUAAUACAAAGCCUUCAAUACUUACAUUGACUUAUUAAAUGAUAAAUUUACCCCUCAAAAUAUUUUUUUUCUUCUUAAUCAAACAUUAUUUUUUCUUUUUCUUUUUUUUUUUCAACUUUUUUUGCUCCGAUCUGUAGCCGCUGCUACUUUCUUUUUGUUUAUCACCAUUUUUAACCUCAACAUUUUCAUGUAUGAUCAUCGUGUAGAUUUUUCUUGUUAAUUGAUUUUGUUUUGUUUGAAUUUUGCAAAAGUUGGAGAAGAGAUGUUGGACAUCAUGUCACCUCCAUUUGUUUUAUUUUAUCUCCCAUUUUUUCUUGGUUGAGCUUUGUCUCGUCGAUGCUAGCAUAAGAAUUAUCUGUAUGUGUAAUUAUAUCAUCAAAUAGAAGGAUAAUGCUUCCAUGGAUAUUUCAUUUCUACAAUAGCAGCUACUUACUUCUAAGCUUGAAAGAGAGUAUACAAAGAAGGGUACUUUAGUAAAUAAAAAUCGUUUUAUAAAAAAUAUAUAAAUAUUUAUUAUAUUUAAUACAUCAAAUCAAACACUGUAUAAAAAUAAUAUUUGUAUAACUAAUACCAGUAUUACUAAUAAACAUUACUAAUACACCUUAUUCAGCAUUAUUCUUACACCUUGUACCAAACGACCCCCAAUAAAAUGUACUUGUGGAAAAAAUUAUUUGUAUAUAUUUUACUUUUUUUUUUAAUGAAAUGAUGUAGUUGAAGCAGGCAUAUCUUAAAUAUCUAUUUUAUUUUUUGAUUAAAUACUAUUAUUUUUUAUUAUGCAAUGACUUAUAAUAAUUAAUUAGGGAUAAUAUAAUAAAAUCAUGAUUGAAGCAGUUAAAACAAACAUGUCAACCACAAGUUUUCUGCUUCGGCAGUUUCAUCCACACUUAUUAAUAAUAGAAAUAGAACAAAAUGAUCUUGUUUUGUUCUUCGAUUGAGAAGAGAUGUCUCGAGCAAUUGGAAGUUCUUUGAUAAACAAAAAGAAAAUUGUUUUUGAUUAGUAGGUGGUGGUUUGGGGGUGAAGAUCGAGGAAAAUUUUUAUUUUGCAUGAGAUAUGCCAACUCAUACUUGUACGAGGCAUUCUCUUAUUGACAAGUGAACUUUAGUGGGUCCUAUUUACAAGUAAAAAAUUUAUGUCUUUUUCUACUACAUUUAUCUCUUUUUCCAUGUUCUUUUAUUUUCCAAUCACUUUCCAAAAUAUUUUAUUUUUCUAUUUUAUUGUAUGCCUUUUGAAGAGAUUUUACGAAAUGUGUUUAUGUAUCAUUUUUGUGACAGAAUUUAGAAUAUUUUUGAAUUCAAACGUUUAAAGUUAGAGAAUACUUUUUGAAAUUUUGGUUAGCGGACCUAAUUAUUUGUUUUUUUUUUUCUUUCAGUUAGUUUUGAUUGAUUUUUUGUGAUCGGUAUAUGAAUUUAAAGUAGAUUUUUUUUUUAAAGUUAAGUGAAAUUAUUCAUACUUUGAUUUGGAUUGAUUUUGGUUAAAAUCAAAAAUUAAAAUAAAAAAAUAAAUCAAUUUAGUUAAUUUUAAUUAUUUAAAUUAAAUUAAAAAAUAUUUUAUACAUUAUUAGAUUGAUUGUAGUUUUAAUUUGUUUUUUAAUUUUUUAGUAAGGAUAUUUAUCUCCUUUUCUUCUACCAUUAGCAACGAAAUUUCAUUAGUUUUUUUGGUUUCCCAAGGUAUCCCCAUAGCCGGCAGCCGUGAGACUAAUCCUUCGUUUCUCGAUCAGCGCACUAAGCGGUAGGAAAUUGACCAAAGAGUUUGCUCUGUUCACCAGAAGCAGGGAUCGAACCCUCGACCUCUUGCUUAAGGGACAUAGUGCUGAACCACUAUGCCAACUCUAGUGGUUGAAAUUUCAUUAGUUGCUAACUUGUAAUCAUGAACAAUUUUUUUUUAUUAUGAUGGCUAUAAUUAUUUUGAAUUAUGAUUAAUGUCUUAAUAUCUGUAAAUGUUAAUUAAGUGAAUAGAUUUUAUAAAAAAGUAUAAAGAUAUCUAAGCAAAAAUCUCAAAAUAUAUAUUGUGAUUCAUGUAUUUUUUUUUUAAAAUGUAUAUAUAUAUAUAUAUUGUGAUUCAUGUAUUUUUUUAAAAAAUGUAUUUAAGUCUAAAUUUAUUAGUCCAUGAGAAUAAAAUUAAAGUAAUAAAAUUCUGAUGGAACAUUAUGUAAAAUAUUUUAAAAUAAUUUAUAAAAAUUGAUACAUUUCCUAUUUCAUACAAAUAAUUAUAAAAUUAGUAAACUCAAAGAUUAUUAUUUUAUAAAAUAUUAAUAUUAAAUCAAAUAAAACUAAAAGUAUAUAAAUUUAUUUUAUUAAUUUACUUUUUAUUUAGUUUAAUUUUAAUCAAAUUACGAAGAAAUUAAAAGCUGAAAGGUGAAACUAUAAAAUAAUUUAAAGAAUUAUAGUCUGCGUUAGUAACAUUGACGAAAGAAGAAAAUGAGAAAAAAUAUUGAAAGAAGGCAGCAAGAAGAAAAGAAGAAAAGAAGAAAAGUGAAUGGGAGAAUUGAUAUUAUAGUGUGUCCCACAAUUCUUGUAUGUUCUCUCCUUCUUGAUAGUUUAAAUUGACAAGUGGAUCCCAUAAUCUGUGUCAAAAAAAUAAUGGAAACUCGUACAACUAGUGGCUGUCACGUAAUAAGUGUAUCUCAUACAGAGUAAAACUUUUUGAGGGUUAGAGUACGAACAAGUUUAUAAAAUAAUUUUAAAAAAUAAAUUAAAAAAAUUGUGGUGAGGUUUGAUUGGGGUGGGGUCGGGUUAAGGUAGAAGGGUGGGGGAGCGAGACUUGUGGAGUGGGAGUUAAAUAAUAUAAGUAGAGGAUAAAAUAAAAUUAUAUAAUAUUAAGUAAGGACAUAACUGAAAAAAAAAAAAAAAGUAAAUCAGUGAUACACCAAAUUAGUGAUUACAUAUAAUGAGGAUUUUCAUGAUUAUCAAACUAUACAAUUAAACCAUAUCAUACAUUUUAAGAAAUAAUCAAAACAAACAUUAUUCUCUUAAUAAUUAUACAUGACAUACCAUGGAAACCACCAUCCAAACAUUAAGUUAGACAGUAUUCUUUGAAAUAACAUCAAAAGACAUUCCAUUCUGUUGAAUCCUGUCUUGGAGGUUUGUUGGGCCAAACACAAUCGAUCCCAGGUGGUAAAACACGUCCCUUUGGAAGAUUGUGUCGUUCCUUGAGCAAAAUGAGAGCACACUGGACUAGAAUGAUGGGAGUCUCAGGCCCUAUGACUCUUGUAAUUAUCUCCGUAUCAGGCCUUCCUGUUUCCUGGUGAUGCAAGACUGCCAUCGCUAAACCCGUGUCCGACAAACCACAUCUUAAAGGUAGCACUUGCCACUUCAUCUUCAGUUGGACUUGUUUUCCUAAAUCAUCCGAGACUGAACAAUGAAGGGAAUUUCAAUAGCAGCCACCUCCCUAAACCAGUUUUACCAAAGAGAUCAAUGAACAUACCAACUGUAAUGAAACAAACAACUCUUAACACAGAUUUUGAAGCUAUCUUCACACCAAAGUGAGCUGGUUUUAUGCUUGACCAAAAUGCCUCCCUCCUCUCAACAUGUUCGGUGCUUUCAUUAACACCCGGUAAACCAUUAGGAUUUUCAGCCAAACAUGAAAGCGUUCUUUGGACUACAAUUGCAUCUGCUGAUGGUAACUUUACAGCCCAAACACCAAUUUCCUUUUGGUGGUCCAUCAACGGACCAUUAGGAUGACAAGGACCAGGAAUCUAAAGCAAACAGAAAAAAGUUAGAGAGACAGAGAGAGAGAGAAUGCAAAAGUUGUCGGAUACCCUGAAUUCGGGAAGCCAGAUACAAAUUUAUAAUCAACACAUAAAUAUUAAGUUAUAUUUUUUUUCAUGCAUGUGUCGUGUAAGGCUCUUUUUUGUUGGUAACUAUGGUGUCUAGGUGAGCUUGCGAUGGGUAACUCUGUCCACCAAAGUGUAGACAGAUGGGAAGAAAUUACCUAGUGUUUUUGUCUCAGCUGGAAUUCGAACUGAGACCUCAUGAAUCAUCGACCACCAUAUCUUUGGGUGCAACGUGUGUAAGGCUUUCAAGGGGUUCACAGAAUCACAGGCUACUCCACACAUUGCCUUGAGAUUUAGUGCUGGGUACUCAUAUUCUCUAGCAUGGUACCACAGUGGCACAGUCAACAUUUGACAAGUUCAUUCUCCAACUCAUAAUCCCAGUUGAAGUUCAGAUAACCUCAAAAUUGGGUUGCACACAUGGAAGGGGUCAAUUAAUACUUGUUGUCCUUACCUACAUGAGCUGUCUAAUGGCUUUCAAAGAAGCUUCUAAUAGUCUUUGGCUAUUGCAUUUGCAUCUACAUCCUAUAAGUUUUGGGGUUAACUGCUCACAUCCAAUUCAAUCCAACAUCAUCGUUCAUCAGUAUCAAAAUGAAAUUACCUACCAAAUGAAACAAGAUCUUACCACAGGACGAGGCCUCUUCGGUCUAUUCUGCCUUAGCUCUUGUAAUUUAUCAACACUAGCCUCACCUAGCACAGCUGAUUCAUACGACGUAAAGUUUGUAACAAUUCUUUUAUCUGAUUCUAAACUAAGGUAGGCCUCAACCGAAUUAGGAACAGACGGGGACAUCCACUGUCUGGAAUUGAACAUAAACCCCAAUUCAGAAGGAACAGAAUCAAAACCACAAGCUUAAACAACCAACGACCUAUUUUCCACAGCCUUAUCAUGGAACUUCACUUCCAUCCUCUCCAUAAACGCAGGCUCUCCACAUAUAUCCAAGUAAUCGAAGCCCGAAUCAACACAUGCUUAAACAACGGGCUCACCGUAAAGACGAAACGGGCCGACACAGUUGAGAAUGAUCUUAGUCUGGGACGCGAGGUGACGAAGUGAAGAUGGAUCACUGGUGUCGGCGGUGAGGAUGGGAAUUUCGGGUGGCGGGUUCGGUCCGGAGGCCCAUUGUAGAGCCUGGAAAAGUUUGGAAGAGUUACGGCCAGCUAUGGCUAAGUUUCAAUGGGGAAGAUGGAACGUUGAGGAAUUUGAGAGCUUCUCUAAUAACGCGUAAAACCUGAAGCGCCUAAGAUUAUCACGUCGUAUGUUGGAUUCGGAUUGAGGUUCUGAGACAUUUUUGUUGGAUUUGCUUAUCGAUUUGGUUAAUGAAAGGGAACAGUAGUGUUGAUCAGAGAGUUGGACUUCGAAGGUGAAGAGAACAAGGGAACUACAAAUGAAAACAACGAUUAAAUUAAGUGGGAGGUGAUAAAAAGUCUUCAAAUUAUAAAUGGUGCUAAGGUAGAAACUUUAAAAAUGGUCAUAACUUUAAUCAAUUAAGAUCAAAAUUUUAUUUAAAUUAUAAUUAAAUUAAUUGGAAUGUAAAGUAUAAUUUUUAAAAAGAUUUAAAUUUUUUUAAAAAUUCAUUCAAUUUCAAAUUUCAAACUUUAGCGUUUCUCUUUGUUUUUUUUUUAUCUUUCAAUCUUUCAUCUUCUUUUUCUUUCUCUCCAUUUUCUUCUUCUUAUUUUGUUCUCUCUCUAUAUUUUCCUCUUCUUUUUUUUUUCUUUCUCUUUUCAUUUCGUUCUUCUUUUUUUUAAUUUUCAUGAUUUUUUAAAAAAAUUUUAAAAGUUUGAAAAGAAAUUUUUUGAUUUCUUUUAAAAAUAAAUGAAGAAAUAAUUUAGCAAAUUCAGCAACUAUGAGAGUUAUUUCAUCAACUAGGAGAAACAACUACGGUAAUUGUUGCAACAACAACUAUUAGUUGUUGUGUUACAGCAAUUAUUGAAGUUGUUGUAGUUAUUAUCGAAGUUGCUGCAGCAACUUCAACUAUUGCUGAAGCAAUUUCGAUACUUACUUAAUUUCUAGAAAAAGAUCUGAUUGGGGGAGAAGUUCAUGAAAAAGUGAUAUUUAUGAUAAAAAUAGAGGUGGUGGUGCUGAUGGCGAUGCCGAACGAGGAGAUUACAUUUGUUGUGGUGUUGAUAGUGACGAUGGUAGAGAAAAAGGAAGAAAAAUAGGCGAUAAUUAGUUAUGUAGAGGGAGGAAACAAUGGUGAAUCUGAAAGAGGUGACAAUGGUAGUGAUAGUGAUAGUGAUAGUGGAGGAAGAGAAGGUGACGACGGCGGGCGGCAACAAAAAUAGUGUGGAUGAGGAGUGGUGGUGAUGGUGUAGGGAUCUUUAUGUAAAUAUGGGGUAGGGAUCUUUGUAUAAAUAAUAAAACUUGAGGGUUUUAAAAUUAGUGUCAUUAACAUUAAUCUUAAAAUUAUCAUCUCUACUCAAUAUUUAAGACUUGUGUCACUAUUUUUUAGUUUUGAAACUUUUUUGUCACCCUUAAUUAAUUUGCCCAAGUCUUUCAUUAAAUAAAGAUAAGUGGGACCAUAAUAUUAUUAUAUUAAAAAAUAAAUUCGCUGAAAUAAUUGGAAAAGUUGUUCCACAACUGCAUUAGUUUGAACAAUUUAAACAACUUUGAUAGUUAUUGAGACAAUUUCUAUAUUUUUUAAUUGGAGCGAAAAUAAUUUUUAAAAAAAUGAAAAAAAGAUUGUCCCUUCCACCUAAUUUUUAAACUAAAAAUUACUUAAACCCAUAAUUUAUGUUUCACUUAUUACAAAAAAAUUCAUCUCUCCAAACAUAUUAUAAAAAUCUCAUUUUUCUCUAAAAGUACAUAUACAUAUCUUUCUAUGUAUAUGUCGGUCAUGUUAUGUAUAUGAAUCGGCCUAGUCAUAAAUAAAGGUUUUUAUGUAUAUGUAGAUCUUGUUAUGUGUUAGGAUCGAGAACCCGGUUAUUGCGGAAUUUAGCCAAAUAAUGUUAUAAUGACACUAACAAAGACAAUAACAAGUUGAUAGUAACGGUACUUAAAGAAAAAAUAAAGGAGACACAAAUUUAACGUGGUUCGGCCAGUGUGACCUACGUUCACGAGCGGAGAGGAACAACUUCACUAUAUCAACAGAAGUACAAUAGAGAGAUUACAAAAUUAGAGUAGUCACUCUAAUUAACCCAAAUAUCUCAAGAGAAAACCUCACAAGAUCACUUCAAAAAAAAUGGCUCACACAAAGUAUUUCCCAACACCAACUCUCUUAGCUUAAUACUCUAAUAGGAAGGAAGAAUAAAUACAAGAGAAUGAAAGAGAACUCUUGUAAUUUGAUGUGUAUUAUAAUUGAGAAAGAAGACCUCUAUUUAUAGAGAUGAAAAUGGAGAUAAGUAGCAAUUUUGUUUGAACAAGAAGCAACUUGUUUGAACAAGUAGCAACUUGUUUGAACAAGUAACAAUCUUAUUUGACAAGUCCAAAAAAUAACCUUCCACAAGUAUUUGGUAGAAACUUACUUUGACAAAGCAAGAGUGAAUCAAACAAAGGCCACAUUACAAAUCUCCACCUUGGCCUGAGUUUGGUUAAUAUAGUAAAUUUGCUUCCUCUCCGCAAAAGUCCGUGUGGGUAAAUCAUUCUUCACAAACGGCAAUCAAGUUCAAGCAAAGCUUGAACUUACUGACCGGAAGAGACUUUGUGAACAUGUCUGCAGGAUUGUCUUUAGUGUUGAUCUUCUGAAUAGAGACCUUUCCUUCAAUAAUAGAUUCCCGAAUAAAAUGACACUUGAUGUGAAUAUGCUUCGUCCUCUCAUGAUACAUUUGAUAUUUAGUCAAGUGGAUUGCACUUUGACUAUCACAGAAAAUAAUAAUAUCACCUUGGUGUGGACUGAGUUCAGCAAAUAGACCCUUCAACCAUAAGGCUUCUUUGAUAGCCUUGGUCACUGCCAUAUAUUCUACUUCAGUAGUAGAUAAAGCUACUACGUGUUGUAAUGUAGCUUUCCAACUGAUAGCACAACCACCAAUGCAAAACAUGUAGCAGUCAGUGAUCUUCUUUUAUCAAGAUCACCUACAUAAUUUGAGUCUACAAAGCCAACUAAAGUGUUAGUAUUUCUACCAAAUUCCAAACAUGCGUUUGAGGUACCACGCAAGUAUCUGAGAAUCCAUUUCACUGCUUGCCAAUGUGCUUUUUCAGGAUAAGCCAUAUAUCGACUUACCACACUUACUGCAUGUGAAAUAUCCGGACGUGUACACACCAUUACGUACAUAAUAUUGUCAACUGCACUAGAAUACGGUACCUGUGCCAUAUAACUUUCUUCUUCCUCUGACUGCGGUACUUAGGCAGCUGAUAACUUAAAAUGAGCAGCAAGAGGAGUACUUACUGGUUUAGCUUCUUUCAUGCCAAACCUCUCCAAAACCUUCUCCAAGUACUUCUUCUGGGUCAAAAAUAGCCUGCGGGCUUCUCGAUCUCUUUUGAUCUCCACGCCAAGGAUUUUCUUAGCUGCUCCCAAAUCUUUCAUUUCAAAUUCACUUUUCAGCUGACUUUACAAAUUGUGAAUUUCUGUCAAAUCCUUAGCAGCAAUAAGCAUGUCAUCAACAUAUAAUAGUAAGUAAAUGAAUGAACCAUUAUUUAACUUUCGAAAGAAAACACAACUAUCAUACAUGUUUCUUGAAUAUCCAUGACCCAACAUAAAGGAAUCAAACCUCUUGUACCACUGUUUUUGGAGAUUGUUUUAAUCCGUACAAGGAUUUCUUUAACAAGCAAACAUGAUCUUCCUUUCCUUCAAUUUUAAAUCCUUCAGGUUGAUGCAUAUGUAUUUGUUCCUCAAGUUCGCCAUGUAAGAAAGCUGUCUUAACAUCAAGCUGUUCUAAUUCCAAAUCAUGCAUGGCAGCUAAGGCAAGCAAGACACGAAUAGAGCUAUAUUUAACAACAGGUGAUAAAAUAUCAUUAAAAUCAACUCCUUGUACCUGACUUUAGCCCUUUGCAACUAAUCGUGCCUUAUACCUUGCAUCUUCAACCCCUGAAAUUCCAUCUUUUUUCUUGAAGACCUAUUUGCAACCAAUGAUUCUACUUCCUGACGGCGGCUUCACAAUAGACCAAGUACCAUUCUUAUGAAGAGAUUCAAUUUCUUCAUUCAUUGCAAUCAGCCACUUGGCUGAAUCAACACCAGAAACUACUUCUGAAUAAUUUGAUGGUUCUCCGAUUUCUUUAGUUUCCUGUGCAACUUAAAAAGCAAAUACAACAUAAUCUCCAUACCUUUCUAGUCUGAGAAUUUGUCUUCUUGGUCUAUGUGUUGCUAUGGAAUACUCAUUUGGUUCAACUUCAGAAGUCAUAACUUCUGGCUCAACUUCUGAAUUUUCAACUGUAUUUUGUUCCACAGUUGAUGAUGAGCUUGGCUCAGAAGGUAUGCCAAGCUCAACCUCCACCUGUUCAUACACAUCAUGCUCUUUGUUCUUGGUACAAGAGUUAGAAGACUAUUUUCUAGAAUGUAACAUGGAGGAUUCAUCAAAAGUUACUUAUCUGCUAAUUAUAAAUUUUGGUGACUUGGGAUCAGGGCACCAAAGUCUGUAUCCUUUCACCAAAGCCCUUGGCUCUAAUUUUUCAUUAUUUGCAUGCAUGUAAGUAGGACAACCAAAAACUUUUAAGUUAGAAUAAUUAGCAGGUGUACCUGAUCAUAUUUCCUCCGGAGUCUUGAAGUUCAAAGGUGCAGAAGGAGCACGGUUGAUAAUAUAACAAGCUGUAGAGAUAGCCUCAGCCCAAAAUUUGUUGAACUCGUCAUUACAAAAUUCCAAGCCAUUAUCUGUUCUAAGCCACUUGACCUGUUUUCCUAUUUGCUUUUCAAUCAAAACUUUUCAUUAUUUGAAAGUUAAGAAAACAUCACUUUUGUUUUUCAGAAAAUAAACCCAAACCUUCCUUGAAUAAUCAUCAAUGAAAGUUAACAUAUACCUGGCACCACCUUUUGAUGGGGUACGGGAAGGACCCCAAAGAUCUGAAUAAAUGUAGUCCAAAGUACCUUUUGUUCGAUGAACUGCUGGAGAUUUGAAGUUGAGUUUUUUCUGCUUUCCAAACACACAGUGUUUGCAGAACUCUAUUUUUUCCAAUACUUUGUCUACACAGUAGACCUCUUUUGCUGAGGAUGGAAAAACCCUUUUCACUCAUAUGACCCAAUCGCAUAUGCCACAAUUUGGUGAUGUUAGGAUCAAGUUGAUUUGAAGUGAAAACUGCAGCAGCACCUGUAACAGUGGAUCCCAAUAAAUUGUACAACGUACCUGAUCUGUGUGCUUUCAUGAUCACAAGAGCUCUUGAAGAUACUUUCAAAACUCCACCUUCACUUGUGUAUUUACACCCAAGAGAUUCUAGAGUGCCCAAUGAAAUGAGAUUUUUCUUCAAGUCGGGAACAUAUCUAACAUCCGUGAGAGUUCUCACCACACCAUCAGGCAUUUUAAUUCGGACUGUACCUUUACCAAAAAUCUUGCAGGGAGUAUUGUUGCCCAUCAAGACAACUCCACCUCCAACAGAUUCGAAUGUGUUAAACAAAUCUCUAUUGGGACACAUAUGAUAAGAACAACCCGAAUCCAAAAUCCACUCAUCGUUAGAUUUAAAACUAUUAUUAGUUGCUAUGAAUAUUAUUCCUUCAGACUCGUUAGUAGCCACACUUGCUUCGGCGGAGUCAGCAUUUUGAUGCUCAUUUUUGUUUUCUUUACGCUUUUCUUUGUUUUUCAACUUAAAGCAUUCAAAAAUGAAAUGACCUUUUUUAUGACAGUAUUUGCACACAACAUUUCUAGGUUUAGACUUUGACCUUGAUUGAGACCUCUCAUUAUUUGAUUCUUUAGAUUGAGACCUCUCAUUAUUUGAUUCUUUCUUAUUAGAUCUACCUCUUACAAAUAAUCCUUCCCCAUGGGCUGCGCUACUUUCCCCAGUAAUAUCUCUAUCUAUCUGUUCCUUUUUAUUUAAGAUAGAUUUGAUUUCUCCGUAAGAGAUAUUAUCCUUUCCAUAAAGCAUAGUAUCUCUAAUAUGCUUAAAUAAUUGAGGUAAGGAAAUAAGUAAUAAGACGGCUUGGUCUUCAUCAUUAACUUCAACGUCUAUAUUGCUUAAAUCCAUAAGAAUAGAAUCAAAAUCAUCAAGAUGUGAGAGUAUAGAGGUACCUUCUACCAUACGAAAUGUGUAAAGCUUUUGCUUCAGGUAAAGUUGAUUUUCCACUGUCCUCUUCAUAUACAAGGCUUUUAGUUUUUCCCAUGUGCCUUUCGCUGUGGUUUCUACAUAUUUCACGUAAAACCUCAUUUGAGAGAUUUAGAAUAAUACCUGAUUUUGCCUUUUUGUCUAUGACAACAAAUUCUUCGUCCGCCAUUUUUUCGGCUUCUUCUCAUUUCCUUCUAGUGCCAUAUCUAAGUCAUCCUGAAUUAAGAUAGCUUCCAUCUUUAAUUGCCACAUCCCGAAGUUUGCACUUCGAUCAAAUUUCUCAACGUAAGUCUUUGUUAUAGUCAUUUUGGCUACUGAAAAAUAACCUGGUUAGAUUCAGCUCUGAUACCAAUUUGUUAGGAUCGAGAACCCGGUUAUUGCAGAAUUUAGCCAAAUAAUGUUAUGAUGACAAUAACAAAGACAAUAACAAGUUGAUAGUAACAGUACUUAAAGAAAAAAUAAAUGAGACACAAAUUUAAUGUGGUUCGAUCAGUGUGGCCUACGUCCACGAGGGGAGAGGAACAACUUCAUUAUAUCAACAAGAGUACAAUAGAGAGAUUACAAAAUUAGAGUAGUCACUCUAAUUAACCCAAAUAUCCUAAGGGAAAACCUCACAAGAUCACUCCAAAAGAAAUGGCUCACACAAAGUAUUUCCCAACACCAACUCUCUUAACUUAAUACUCUAAUAGGAAGGAAGAAUAAAUACAAGAGAAUGAAAGAGAACUCUUGUAAUUUGAUGUGUAUUACGAUUGAGAAAGAAGGUCUCUCUAUAUAGAGAUGAAAAUGGAAACAAGUAGUAACUUUGUUUGAACAAGAAGCAAUUUGUUUGAACAAGUAGCAAUCUUGUUUGACAAAUCCAAAAAAUAAUCUUCCACAAGUAUUUGGUAGGAACUUCCUUUAACAAAGUAAGAAUGAAUCAAACAAGGGUCACAUUACAUUAUGUAUAUGAAUCGGGAGAGAGUAAAGUAAUUAAGGAAGUUACUUAUACUUUUUUUAAACUUGAAGCCACCUAAUUGAGUAGUCUGUCCAUUUUAUGUCGUAACUGCGAGAUUCCGUGAUUCUGUCUCCUGUAUAUCCGAAACAUUUAUUAUUAUAUAAAAUGUCUUGCACGCAAACAAAUGCGGUUCUAUGGUGUAGUGGUUAGCACUCUGGACUUUGAAUCCAGCGACCUGGGUUCGACUCCCGGUAGGACCUAUUUUUUUCUCAUUUUUGUAUUCUUUUUGUUCAGCAAGGGUCUAUCGGAAACAGUCCCUAUAUUUCAGUUCUGAGAUAGUAGUAAUGGACAGCAUAUGUUAUUAAUAUUGUUGCUAUAUUUUCUUUUCUUUUCAUUUUUUGAAUUCUUUCACAAUUACAAAUACGACAUGGACCUGUUUUUUUUCUCAUUUUUGUAUUCUUUUUGUUCAGUAAGGGUCUGUUGGAAACAGUCCCUAUAUUUCAGUUCUGAGAUAGUAGUAAUGGACAACAUAUGUUAUUAAUAUUGUUGUUAUAUUUUCUUUUCUUUUCAUUUUUUGAAUUAUUUUUCACAAUUACGAAUACGACAUGUGAGAAAUAUGGUAAAAAGGAAUAUUUGGUCCUGAAUUAUAAGCCUUCUAAUAGGAAAGUAUGACAGUCUAGCAUCAGCGUAAAAGGUUAGAAGAUAGUAGAGUAUUAUCUUUCCCACGCCUAGUUCUUCCCCCGGACCUGUAGUGGAGCUUGUCCCCUGCCCUAGGCCUAUUGAGAUUGAGUUUCCUUCACCAAUAAUUUUAUUAGGCAGGGCCUAUUGAGAUUGAGUUUUCUUCACCAAUAAUUUUAUUAUUAAUCUCCUACUAUCUUUUCUUAAAAAAGAUCUUACUAUUACUUCUUGUUUUCUUAGCUUCGGUUAUUAUAUUUUUGUUGCUGUAGUUGUUCUCUUUUCUAUUGUUUUAAACAUAACUAUUGUAUUUCAUUUACAUAUGUUUUACUUAAGCCGAGAAAUUAUCAAAAAGAGUCUCUGCUCAGUAAGGCUGCAGGCUGCGCUCACACCACCCUCCACUGACGCCAUGGAUAUGUUAUUCUUGUUUCUAAUUAAUAAGAUAUUCGUCUUCUAAACCUCAUUUGACAUAUCAAACACUUGCAUUUUACGAAAAGAAAAGCAAGAAAGGAGGUCUCUCCAAUAUGCAGCAACAAUUUCAGUUCCAAUUAGAUUGAUCUCUAUUAGGGGGGAAAUGAAGUAGCAUUAUUAAUACACUCCUACAAUAGAGUAAUGUGAAAUUUAUGUUUUAUACUACACAGAAAUGUACAAAAUAAGCUCUAAUGGUCAUGAGAUCCUUUAAGAGAAGUUGCAAGAACUUCGGUGCUCAUUCUAAACUAGCUUGUCCAUGCUCUUAAAACUGUUAAACCCCGAGGUUUCUCCACCCAGCAUAUUUUUGAUAAAUGAGAAAUCCCUGAGAGCCAGCUAUCACGCGGUUCAGAACUUAAUGGAUAAUAGAUCCGACCAAGAUUUUGUCUGCAGCAAGGUUCAAACUCGUGAUGUGAGCCUAACCUACAUAUCAACAUUGGUUCAGAGGAAGAGCGAGACUAUGGUUGAGAUAUCUCUGCCUUGGCAAGCGCCUCGUUCUCUUUCCCCACCCCGUUAGACUUUUUUCCUCGAGCCCCGAAUCAGUAGAACAAGGCUGGAUUACUGGGGGCGUGCAAUCUGCAAGAAUUGUUGGAGAGGGAUCAGCAAUUGCUAAUCGCCGCCUUCCCCUGCCACUCUUGCCGGUUUUCCUGUGUGAUAAGCUAAACUGCCAAGAAGAUCCACUAGCUUUAAACAGCUCUUCAAAGGCCAGAAUAUCCUUCUUCACCUCAUACCUCGACAAGGAAAUAAUACCAGGAAGAACAUCCCUCUGGAAAUCUCUCCGUUGCCUGCCCCUUCUUGCUUGCCCCCUUCGAGGCCCUUUUGGUAAGGUAGUGGCCACCGUUUCUUCGUCUUUAUGGCUCUCCAUUGUUGGCAUUUUGUAGGAAUACUCUUCUUCCUUCAUAUCUUCCAGCGUGAGUGUCAUGAACUCAAAGUAAUCAAAGCAAUCGGGAAUGGAUUCCUCAUCAAACUCGGACAUUGUACCUGAGUUGAUUUUUCUAGCAAUGCUUUCUUGGUCACUACUGUGAGAGGAGGCAAACUCAGCAAACCAGUUGAGGCUGUCACUAGGUUCAGUUUGCAACACAUGAUUCAUUUCUCUGUUUACACCAGACAUUGAGAUGGAAAUUAUAGACUCUGCAGCAAUCCUCAUGGCUUCUUCAUUCGAUUUAUUAGAUUCUUCUAAUGUAUGUUUAGAAUUCACACAUUCUUCUUCGGAUUCAAGAACUGCGGGAGCCUCUAAAUCUAUCUCAGUGGUUGCAAUCCUCACCACAGCCUGAAGAAGAGGAGGUGCUGAUGGUGCCUCUUCUUCAUCAAAAGACAAGUUCAAAUCAAUCUGAUACCUUAAACCAGAAACAUGACCAUUUAGUCCUUUUUCUUGAACAAAAUCCUUAGCUUCCACCUGCUUUCUAGAAAGAGUCUCAUAUCCAGAAGUGUUUGCGGCAGUAACAGAGUCAACAUCUGGAAAAGUGGCCUUGGAGAGAGCAUGUGCUGCAUGCGAGUCCUUAGAGGGACUGAAAAUUGGAACACCGAAAAUUGUCCUAAUUUUAGUGUUGUCUGUAACUUCAGUCUUCUGGCACUCAGAAUCAUUGGUGGAUCUCGAUGACAUGGUUUCCCGUCUCGGAUAUAUAAAUUGGGAGGAGCUGACUGAUGUAUCUUCUCUUCUGAAAAACUGCUGAGAAUAAUUCUGCAAGGAGUCCAGAUUUAAGUGAUAACAACUUUCCGUCCCUUUAGUCUGCUCUACACUUUCCUGUGAUUUCACCCUUAACCAAGGCAAUGUCUCCCUGGAGUUUUCCUGCUUCCUUUGACAAUCUCCAGAUACAUGCGUUUUGCCAGCUGCUUCAGUUUGAGAAACACAGGAAGUUUCUCUGGCAUUCUUAAAUCCAGCAGAAUUACAAUCCAAGUCAUUCACACGUUCACAAGUUUUUGUCCAAUCUUGUUUAGCAUUUAGCUGAGAUCUUUUACAAAGAACAUUUUGGUAUGGAAGCACAUUCUUUGAACUUGAAUGUGAUCUGACAUCACUUCCCAUAUGCAUAUUGCCUCGAUUAGCCUCAAGGUCUCGCAGAAGUUCAGUAUAACUCUGAGAAAGUGGUUUAGACUUAUGAGUGGAAGUUUGCAUGAUGGAAAAGCUAGCCGAUUGUAUUUGAUUUUCUUCAUGAAUUUCAACCCCAAAGAUAGUCCUUUUCUUCUGGUGUUCAUUCUUGAUGUUCUUAAAGAGAGUGUGCUUGAAAGGUUCAUGACCUUGUGAUGACUGAAAGGCUUUAGGUAAAUUUUCGGCUGUUUCAAGUCUUCCAGAAGAUCUGUUAUCUGGUUGCUUUUGCUCUGUAACAAGAAGAUCGAAAUCAAAACAGAAAGUAGUAGCAAGAUAUUAAUAUAAAAUACGAAUGCAGUAAAUCAAAUAAAGAGGUGUCACUCAACAAGAGGUCUUUCUGUGACUAUGACGGUAUCCCUUUCUGCUCCUACUUUUUUUAGUUCAUCUAAACAUUCAUACUGCAACUCAUCGAACAAAUAGCUCAGCAAGAAAAAGUCUCAACAAGAAUUAAAUUUGUAGACCGGAAAGGUAGCAGACACAUAGUAAGUCUUUCUUUUAUAUCCCUAUAUAGAAAGGACACAACAUAUGAAAAUCCACUAUUUGUCCAGAAAGUUACUUUGGAAGUAUCAUCAGAUACUAGCUAAAAAAUCUUCUUUAGCGGUUUAUCCUCCUUUCAAAUGAAACAUAUGAAAAGUUAUUGUCUACUAACACAGUUGAAAGGUGAAAAGACGGGUUUACAUCAAGAAAACAAUCUUACCAGCAUUUAACUUAAACAUUAACUGCUCUUCUCCCUUCCUGCAAGGCCGGUGGUUGAGGCAAAUUCCACCAAUCCUUUCCUUGAGUGGCGUUGCAGAGAACUUCGCCCCGUCAUAGCUGUCACCCUCAAGGAAAGCAACGCUGCUUAUAUUCAUAUCCGGCACCAAAGGAGGAUCUUCUUCAAGUGGUAGAGGUUUAUUUAAGUCAGCCAGUUCAUCAGUCCUUUUUGAGGAUUUAGCUCUGUCGAAAUCAGCAUCAGAACGGAAUUCUAAAGCACUGGCGAUAGGUGCCUUUGCAUCUCUACUUUGGGGGAUCUGAUAAAUUCUCUCAGCAGGGUUCCCUUGAACGUCCGGUGAUUCCCAUUGUUUCGUAGUAGAGUGUUUUUCUUUGUUAUUCGUGCACUCAUUAACUACAUAUCUAGAGCCGAACAUUUUUCUCUGGAACAAACUGCUACCAGGCUGGUGAGAUUCACAUUCUUUUGAACUUUUUGUGACAUGGGGGGAGAAAUUAAUGGACCUGCCAUCGGUCUCUAUAAAAUCAAAGGACGAUUGGUUCUUAGAAGCACCUUUAAUUGAUAGCUGGCCAGCUAUAGAAUCCAAUGAAGGAAAAUGAGAUAAUGAGGGACUUGACUGUAAUAUCUUUGUUCGACUGUCACGCAUUUCUUUGCUUUGAUGUUCAUUCAUUAAAUCUCUUUGUCUUCUGUAUAUCCGGUGAAGUUCUUGGAGCUGCACAGGUAAACCACAUCAAAAUCACAAAAUGUUAAAAAUACGAUCUCUUUAUUCAGUCCUUCAUAUAAAUGAAACAACUCGAGUGAGAAAACGAUUACAAGUCACCAUACCUGAUGCCUAAAAACUGUUUCAUGCUUCAAAAUAGUCUGCCUCAUUUUUUCUUUGUCACAUUCAAAAUAUCCAUCAAUUGGUUGCGGGGACAAAACUGAAUCAGUGCACUGACUUCUUUUCCUCGACUUAUUUUCAUGAUUUGGGAGCCAUGGGAUGUUAGUUCCAUUGUUAUUUAGAUCACUCGUGGAGCAAAAUCCCGGCAAAUAUGCCUUACAUUGUACUUUAGUGCCCAUUCCUGCAAUCAUACAAGGGUGGAAAAAUGAUUAGGCUAGCAAAACAAUCAAACACAAAGGAAAAUCUAGUCGAUUGAUACAUCUUCAGAUCACGAAAAAUGCCUCCAUUAUACUUCUUUUGUUACUUUUCGAGCCUCAAGCAUAGUUGUUUUCUUUUAAUAGAACAAGUGCAAAUAUACAGAAUUAGAGAGCUAAUGCAUUCAUUUGUAACUGCUAUCUCUUUGCACACCAGAAAGAACGUUUGCGGACAUACAAUCAUACAGGAGGCCAAGUGAGAAAUACCUCAGGCACGAUUCACACUGUCAAAUUGCCAGUGAGGUCCAACAUUUACAGAAAUUAUUACCAAGAUCAAAGUUUUAUCUCCAAAGUAAGAUAUGCCUAUAAAAGCUCUCUAAGAAUGGAGAUGAAAGAAACAUAUCAGCACCUGCUUUCAUUUGACUGCUUGGCAAGUAUAUCAUGGCUCGAACAUUAUGUUCAAAAAUAUUAAAUGUCACUUUAGUAUAUUCUAUAUAUCUUUAAUUUAAAACCACAAGAUUUAAACUCCGUGUCAAGUCAAAAUCAAGUAAACAAAUUGAAACAGUAGCAGUAUCAGUCUGUGCAUUAUCUGAAACUCCGUGUCAAGUCAAAAUCAAGUAAACAAAUUGAAACAGUGGGAGUAUCAGUAUGUGCAUUAUCUGUGAUUAUUUCUGGCUAUUCUAUCAACUGCAGGUUGAGAUGGCCUACAAGGUAACUAUCUACAGUGAUAAUUUUGUAACCUAAUAAGUACAGUAAAUAACAAUUAAAUAACUCAAGUCAAUAUUUUGGAAAUGAAGGCAAUGCAAUCUAUGACCAAUCUUGAGGAUUGGUCAAACAAAUUAAUUCCAUAAGAAUUCCUAUUUUCAAUUUUACCCACAAAAGGUAUGAUGUAUCAGUAAAAAAACUUCUGGUCCAAUUUUCCAAUUCUCUCAUACUUUCUUCCUUUCAAGCAAUCAAAACAUUUAAGAUCAAAUCCAACAUGAAAACUCAAAAAUAAAAACAGAAACAAAAACUUAAAAAACAAGUAAACAACAUAUAAGAAAGUAACGAGAAACUUGUAAAUUACCUCAAAAAAACUCUGCUAAUUCCUCCUCUUCACUACUUGAAAAUUUUGAGUCUCAGAAUCCUUUUAAGAAUUCUUUGUUCAGCUGAAAUUCCCUUUUAAUAAAUUUCCACAAAUCCAAAACCAAAAAAGCAACAACCUUUGUGUUGUCACUAAAGAAACCUUAAGACAAAAAACAUCACAUCCAUAAAUCAAGAAUUCAGUUAAGAACACCAUAUAAUACUUUAAAAAAAAAAAAAAAAAAAAAGUACCCUUCUGCUGGUCCAGUGUGAUCAAAUCAAAAGAAGCUACAUGUUAGAGAGAUCCCAUGUAAGAUUAAGAUCUCUUUCUCUUUCUACAUAGAAAAAAAUGAAGUCUUUGGAAAAAGCAAUGACUUCAAAAAUGUCAACAUGUGGUCUCUUUGUUAUUCUCAUACUAUGUUUUUUUUUUCUCUCUUUUUCACUUUUCAAUCAUUUCUUUACCCAAUUGGCUAUCUAUUUUUGAUAGUUAUAUGAGUAACAACAAAGUAUCUAAAUGAAUAAAAUAUUUGACAGAUUUUUAUUUUUUUUUCUGGGCUUUUGAGGAAGUGAAAGACAUAGGUAUUUGUAGCACAUUUUCUAGAUUCUCUGUGACCCUCCUCUCUUGUUGGGUGCCACAUAAUUUAAUUUAUAUUUCUUUCUUGACAACUACUUCAGAUAAUUUUGUAUCAUUAUUUUAUUAUUCUCACAAUAUUUUGAUGUACAGUAACAGAUAAUUUGCUUUAUUUUUACAAGUUAUUAAUUUCCUUGCUUAUGAACGAUUAAUUACUUAUAACUAUAACUAUCAUUUACAUAAUUUGAUGGCAUAAAGAGUUAUUUGUGCUAAUGAUCAAAAACUUACCUUAAGUAUUUCAAUUUUUUUAGAUGAUACCUAAAACAACCACACCUCAACUAUUAAUUUAAGAAAUGGUGAUUUUUGGGUAGAAAAAGCGAUACAUUGAUAGGUAAUGUGUUUUUUGAUACUAAUAAUUAGUGAUAGUUCAAUAUAACUUAAAAUGAGAAUAAUUUAGGCGUGUUUUGACCCUUCACCCAAAUCAUCUUAACUAGUUAUGUAGCUUAUUUGAGAUGAGGGUCUAUCCAAAACAGUCUAUCUCCUCUACAAAGAUAGAAUAAAGUUUGUAUAUAUUUAAAUUAUACUAAAUACUCCCUCCGUUUCAGAAUAAAUGAAUUAUUGGGGUAUUUAUUGGUGUUUCAAAAUAAGUGAAUUGUUGAAUUUUUUUCUAAAAUUACCCUUAUGAUUUGACAAGCAAAAGAGAUCGCAGAUUUUUUUUUUUGGGGGUAAAAGAGACUUCAAGGGUAAAAAUAAAAAUUUAUAUUAAAUUUAUGUUUUUAAUAUUUUUUUCCUUAUUUUGUGUGCUAAAAUUUAAUAAUUUAUUUAUUUCGAAACGGAGGAAAUAAUAUAUUAUUGUUAUUACGAUUAACUAAUCUUUGUGUCAAGUAUACACUUCAAAUUCAAUUGAGGCAAAUAUUUUUAAAAUAAAAUAACUUUAUGUCACAUGGAUCAACAAUGCAAUUGGAAAAGGAAAAAAAAAAAAAAAAGAGUGGAAUGAUGUUUGAAAGUUAAAAUGGGAAAAGGGUAUUAAAAUGUUCAACAGUUUCCUAACAGGUGACCUCAUUAUCAUCAAUAAAGAUGCAUCUAAAAUCUAAAUUACUAACAAUCACUCGCAUGAAUGAUGUUCUAUCUGACACGAAAGUACAAAGGGUUAGUUUCAUUUUAUCUAAGUCUCUUUGUUAAAAAUAUUUUUUUAUUUAUUUAUUUAUUUUGUGAAAUUAAGAGAAAUAUUUAUGUAUUCUUUUUCUUUUUUACCAUUUCAUUAAUUUAGUUAUAUAUACAGUUCAUUGUUGAUUUUUAAUGGGACUGGGUCAAAUCAAGAAAAAUAAAAUAGAUAAUACUCAUAAAAAUAUCUGAACUUUGAUCGAAUUUUCAGUUGAAUAUACUGAACUUUAAGGGGGUUCUAUUAUCCCCUAAACUUUUUUUCGUAUUUUAGUGAUAUAUAUCUGCCCACUUAGACACGUGUAAAUAUAAGAUUGGCGCGUGUAUGACACGGGUCAAUACAUGUGUAAAAACGAGAUUUGACGCUUGUAUUACACGCGUCAGCGUCAAAAAAGGGUAUACAGUUUCUGGGGGAAUUAAAUCCACUUUAAAAAAUCUAGGGGUAAUAGAACCCCCGCAAAGUUCAGUAUACUCAACUAAAAAUCUGAUCAAAGUUUUGAUAUUUUUGUGAGUAUUAUCUCAAAAUAAAACGAAAAGAUUAGAAAGAUAUGCGUAGCUUACAUGUCCAGGUGUGGCGCGUGGGAGAACAUACUCUUGACUUCAAUCUCCGUCCCAGAAUAUGCAAAUAUUUAGGUGAAGAUGAAAAGGACUGUUUGGCAAUUGAAAUUACUCUCUCAGUCCCAUUUUACUCGUUCCAAUUUAAUACUUCAUGUUGAUUAAGAAAAAUAAUUAAUAACAUGACUAUUUUAUCAUAAUACCCCUAUAAAAUAAUUUUUACAUUUUAAUUUGGAGAAAAAAAAUAAUUAAUACUAAGGGUAAAAAAGAAAAAAAAAUUGUCUUGUCUUAAUUAAUGAAAAAUGAUAAGUAAAAUAUGAAAUUAAAUUAAAAAAUUUGAGAUAAGUAAAAUAGGACGGAGGAAGUAUGAAACUACUUACUUUUUAUUUUUAUUUUUUUGGAAUAAUUUAUAUGCUACUUCUCUUUACCAUUAUAGUGCUGAAGAAGUGAAGAUUAUCUGUUUACUUUGAUUGUUGCUGUUGCAUAUAUUAAUUUAUCUAUUUAUUACUUGACAUAGGUAUAAAUUAGUUGGAAGAAGUAGUUGUGAAUCUUGUAAAAGAUGGAAGUGAACAAAAAUGGUUUCAAAUUUAUUACAACAAUAAAAUAGAAGGAGGAAUGGUUUGUUUGUAUCUGUUUUGUAGUUUGUCGUUUGUAGGAUUCUGAUGAUGUUUGUGAUCUUGAAUAAAUAGUUUAUAAUAUAACUUUGCUUUUGUCUUAUUUCUUUUAUUAUCUAGCGAUGUGUUAUUUCAUUUGUUAUUUAUUUAUUUUAUUUAUUAUACUAUUUUCUGUCAUGAAUUGGGUAUCUAUUGGAAAAAAACUUGUCUCCUUCAUCUACGUAGUGGUAUGGACUACGUACACUCUAUUGUUGUAAUGUAUGUCGUUCACACUUACCCGUAGUGAAAGCAAGGCAGAUCUAAGAAGACAGGAGGGUAUUCUUUCCAAUAUGCUCGAUAAUAUAAAGUAAUUUUUUUUUUUUUUAUGUAUAUAUAUAAAUUUUGAUUCCCAUGCGGAAUGUAAUGGAUAAAGCUACCAAUUACAGAAUUGAAUAUUAUGGUCGGAAUAUAUAUCAUUUUCAGCAUAGUGUUAUUUUAAAUUAGCAUAGAUAAAAAAAGUAAGAAUAAAAAAUAAAUAAGUUGGAGAAUAAAGUAAGCAAAGAAACUUGACUGAGUCCAAUAAAAAAGAAGUCCACGCUGUUUAUGUUAGAUUUUAUUUUGGGAAAAUUAGUAAAGUUGGUCUAUUCAUGAAUGUAUUGCACAAUAUGGGCCCUACGCGUCGUGUGUUUCGUUUCUCUCCACUAAAUUACAUUUUUUUUUUUUUAUGAUUAUUCAACAUUUAAAAGAUUUUUAAAAAGAGAAAAUUAAUUGGUAGAGCAAACAUAUUUUUUUUAAUUAUUCUGAAUAAUGAGAGUUUAAGAAAUUAAUUUACAUAGUGUUGUAAAAUAACAAAGAAUAAAGAAGAAGAGUAAAGAGAGUAAUUUUUUAUUUCUCUUUAGGAUGAGAAAUCAUAAAAUUGAGAAUACAGUGAAUAAAACUCUUCUAUUUAUAGGAAAAAAAUACUCCUAGUUUUUGACUAAAAGACAGAUACUUCAAAUCUUGAUAGAUAUCAGCUAGAUCUUAUUAGAUCUUGAUAGACAUUCAUUAUAAUACAAAUAUAUUUUUAACACUCCCCUUGAAUGUCUAGAUAAAUAAUAUGUCUCGUUAAAAUCUUACUAGAAAAAAUUCGGUAGGAAAAAAAUGCAGUGAAGGAAAAAGAGUGCACAUCUCUAAUAAUAUGAAUUUCGGUUGCCUCAUUAAAAACCUUACAAGGAAAACUCAGUAGUACAAAACCUUGAAAGGAAAAAAGAGUACAACGCGUAUUUGCUCCCCCUGAUGAGAACAUCGCCUUUGCAUCCCGAUCUUGUGCAUCAUCUUCUUGAAAGCUGCAGUUGGAGGAGACUUGGUGAAUAAAUCAGCCACAUUGUCACUUGAAUGAAUUUAUUGUACGUUAAUAUCACCAUUCUUUUGUAGCUCAUGUAUGUAGAAAAACUUUGAUGAAGUGUGCUUCGUUUUAUCUCCUUUUAUGAAUCCCCCUUAAAAUGUGUUAUGUAUGUUGCAUUAUCUCCAUAUAAAAUUGUGGGCAUAUUGUCACAUUUCAAAUUACAUUAUUCUCGAAUGUGAUGUAUCAUGAACCUCAAUCAUAUACAUUCUCGUUUUGUUACAUGAAUAGCUAUUAUCUAGACAUGGUUCGAUGGGGUGGCUAGAUCGACUGCUUUGUAUAUCUCCAAGAUAUAACAGUACCCCCACAUAUAAACACAUAGUCUGUUUGAGAUCGAAAAUUAUGCAGGUCAGAUAAGUACCCAGCAUCAGCAUAGCCAACAAGAUCGAGAUUGCAAGCUUUAAAAUAAAAUAAGAUCAUGCGUUUGAUCUCAUUUUGAUGUCUCCUAAUAGGAGCAGAAAUAUACAUUGCUAACAAAUUAACUGAAAAGGCUAUAUCGGACCUUAUAGUAUUUGCAAGAUAUAUUAGUACACCAAUUGAACUAAGAUAUGGUACUUCAGGACCAAUCCAAUUCGGUGCGUUUCACAUUUCAGCAAAUAAUCUUAUUGCUUUUGAAAACUCACAUUUCAAUGAUUUUCAAACCAUCAAUUUAUCCCUUAUAAGGAUAAUAAAUAAGUUUCCUAGAAACUUUAUAUGCUUCAAACAGUUUGAAUCCUUUAGAAAUUUUCAUAUAGAUUAUUGUCAAGUGACAAUAUCCAACAUGUCAAGUGUGACAUCUUCAAGUGUCUGGAUUGCAAAUUAAAUAAGUUUUACGCUUACCAAAAUGCAUCCUUUCAGGUCACUUGAUAAAUGUUUCUACGUCAGUUUGCUUAAAUAAACGUAGGAUUCAGAUCCUCGUAAUCUCUCACAAUAUUGAGUCAAUAUUGUAUCAAAGAUAUCAUCAAUGAUAUAUCGUUUUGUAUUGGUUCACAAUGUGACAUAACAUUUUGAGAGCUCAUCACUUCAUUAUUUUUAGGUAUCUGAACCUUUCAUAAGGUUUCAUGAAGUGUUAUGUCGUAGGCUCUUCAAGAGCACAUUGUCUUUUUAUAAUGAUUGUUUGCACCUUAUCAUUUUCAAGUAUUAUUUUAUUUGGAACCGAUUGAUCUACCACGCUUCAUCCAUGCAUAGAAUUUGUCUUUUAUAAACACAAAAUAGGAGUACUUGCAGCUUAAAUAUGAGAUGCUUUCGGCAUUUGACUUGAAUUAUCUUUUGAAUGAGGAUCUGGUGAUAAUUCCUAAUAUAUUUCAUAGACGCAUAUAAUCUCCCUCUUAUGUUAGAAAAAACUAACAUACAUCCUCCAUCUUCUUUGAGUAAUCCAUCUUUGUACAUCAUGAUAUAUUCAUUAAUCGUAUACCGCACAUCAAAAUUAUUAGAUGGAAUUGUUGGUUCCUGAGCUUGAACCAAUUAAGAGGGAAGAAAUUAUCAUAAUUUAUUGGUCUAAUGCAUACAAGUGCUAUUGUAUGCAACAUAUCAUAUUUCAGACCAACACAUGAAACUUUGUUCUCAUUAGUAAUGGUUUAGCUAUUUAUCGAAGGCAUUCAAUUCCAAACCAUCAUCAUCAAGAUGAAUUGUCUUGAUUACACAAUCUGAAAACUAUGUUCUUAACUCAAUUUUAUUGAACAAACAACUUUAUGAAUGUCAAACUACAGGUUGACAAUAAACGUACAAGUGAUCAUCUUAUAUCGAUGCAUCAUGCAUCUUAAUGACCACAUGACAAGUGAGCGAGCCCAUAUUCACCUUUUAUAUUUUCAAAUUUAAGGGAUCAAAUCCCAAUAUUAGUUGGUCCAACCAACUUAUCAUGAGAACAAACAACAUUAAAAGUGCACAUUAUCUAUCAAGACAUUCAAGGCGGGUGUUAUAAAUGUAUUUACAUUAUAGUAAAUAUCUAUCAAGAUUUAAUAAGAUCUAGUUGAUAUCUAUCCAGAUUUGAAAUAUCUGUCUUUUAGUCAGAAAUUAGGAGUAUUUUCCUUAUAAAUAAAGGUGUUUUGUUCAUUGUAUUUUCAAGAAUCUUAUGAUCUCUUAUCCCCCAAGAGAAAUAAACAAACCUCCUCUCUUCUCUCUCUAUUUAUUUUUGUUAUUCUUACUUUAUAUUUUAUAACACGUUAUCAACACAAGUCUCUAACCAAUUUAGUAAAAUUAUUUUCUUGUGAAAACCAAUAAGUCGUUCGCAGAAAACCUUGAGGCCAAAGGAUGAUAAUAAUGAUCAGACCAUUCCCAGGUAAGUAUAAUAUUGAAACACGAAAUUUAUGACUAUGGAAGUAACAUACUAAUGAUAAGAAUGACCCACAAUUACAUGCGGUCAUUGUUGUUAUUGUUUUAAGUAAUUUUUAAAUUGCUUUUAUACCUUAACAAUCAGGUUGUAAAUAAUAUUUCAUAUUUUCAAUAAUAAUUAAUUUGUUAACCAUAAGAAGUUAUUUGGGCAAACUUGCUAAAAGCUUAUAUAUUUUACAUUAUUGUAUAAAUAAUUUUUGAAUAUAUAUUUGGCUAUUAUAUUAUUGAUUGAGAUAAGAUGGUGGAUUUGAGUUUCAUCGUACCAAAAGAGUAAGACAUUGAAUUAGAGUUCUGUUGCAUUAUGAUUAGGUUCAAGUCCCAUCGGAUUAUGCCUAAGAUGCCUUUAAAUGGAUAAGACGUUGAGUAUGAAUCUCAAUGCAUCAUAUUGAUGAUAUUAUGAUGGCUAAGGCAAAAUAAUGAGUAUGUGGUGAAAAGUCGUGAAAUCUAACUUAUUGAAUAUGCUUCAUUCCAUGUAGCGAAUGUGGUAGCAAUAUGUGAUAAGUCUGAAAGAUGACAAUUUUUUCCAUUCUUAAAGUGAGUGUGGUAGCAGUGCAUAAUAUGUCUUAAAGAAGACACGUGAUUGAAUGCACGAAUAUACACGUAGAGGGAUAAUAUGAUAAUGAUCAUAAAAAGUGAUGAUAGUUUCACACACAUAUUAUGAUCAUAAGAUAUGUUGGAGAAAAAUUCUCUACGUCAUAUGUAUGCCUCGAUCUGCUCCUGAAAGAUCAAUAUCUUGAAAGAGGUUCUAAACUAUCAUAAUUUGAUAAUAGGCUUAAGGCACGAUUAUAUUUCAUUUCCAUAGAAUGAGAAGCUUAUUAAUGCAAACGUGCACUUGAUUGUGAUGGUAUCACAACUCACCUCCGAAAGGGGCUGAAUAACUGAGAAAAGUUAUUUUGAAAUCUACUUAUAAAAUAGUAAAUUUGAAAUUUUAUUCAUGUAAUAGUAAAUCUGAAAUUUACUAAAGAAAAAAGGUACAUGUCAUGGUAAACUUGGAGUUUACUAGUAUAAAAGUUCAUAAAUUGACAUGAACGAUUGCAACAUCCCAAAGAUGUGCAUACUGAGUAUGUAACAUAUAUUGAAGAAUUAAAAAAUUCUUCAUUACUUGUAAUGUUGCUUGUUCUCAUAAUAAGUUGGUUGGACCAACUGAUACUGGGGUUGGAUCCCUUAAAAGCUGAAAAGUAUAAAAGGUGAAUAUGGGCACGUUCACCAGUCAUGUGAUCUAUUAAAAUGCAUCAAUAUAAGAUGAUCGCAUGUGUAUUUAUUGUCAACCUGCAGUUUGACAUUCAUAAAGUUGCUUGCUCAAUAAAAUUGAGUUAAGAACAUAACUUUUAGAUUGUGCAAUCAAUACAAUUCAUCUUGAUGAUCAUGGUUUAGUAUUGAAUGCCUUCAAUAAAUAGUUAAACCAUUGAGAACAAAAGUUUCAUGUUUUGGUUUGAAAUAUUAUCUACAAAAGUACUUGUAUGCAUCAAACUAAUAAAUUAUGAUUAAUUUCCCCUCAAAGUUGGUUCUAAGUCAGGAUUUAAACGCUGUCCAUCUAAUAGUUAAUGUGCGGUAUAUGAUUAAUGAAUAUACCAUGAUGCACAAAGAUGGAUUCCUCAAAGAAGAAGGAGAUGUAAGUUUUUCUAACAUAAGGGGGAGAUUAUAAGCAGCUAAAAAAAUAUGUUAGGAAUUAUCAUCUGAUCCUCAUUCAAAAGAUAAUUCAAGUCAAAUGCCGAAAGUAUCUCAUAUUUAAACUGCAAGUGCUCCUAUUUUGUGUCCCUAAAGUACAAAGUCUCUACAUGCAUAAAGUGUGCUAGACUAAUCGGUUCCAAAUGAAAUAAUCGUUGAAAAAUAAGGAGCAAAUAAUCAUAAUAAGAAGGCAAUGUGCUCUUGAAGAGCCUAUGACAUAACACUUCAUGAAACCUUAUGAGAGGUUCAGGUACCUGAAAAUAAAGAAGUAAUGAGAUCUCAAAAUGUUAAGUCGCAUUGUGAACCGAUACAAAAUAAGAAAUCAUCGACGAUAUUUUUGAUACAAUACUGGCACAAUAUUGUAAAAAUUUACGAGGAUCUAAAUUUUACGUUAAUUUAAGCAUGCUGACAUAGAAACAUUUAUCAAGUGACAUGAAAGGAUGCAUGUUGGUAAGCAUAAAACUUAUUUGAUUUGCAGUCCAGACACUUGAAGAUGUCACACAUGAAAUGUUGAAUAUUAUCACUUGACAAAAUUUUUAUGAAAACUUUUUUAAGAAUUCAAAAUAUAAAAGUUUCUGGGAAACCGAUUGAUAAUCCUUAUAUUGUAUAAGUUUAUAGUUUGAAAAUUAUCGAAACUCUUGGAGAGUUUUCAAAGCAAUAGAUUAUUUGUUGAAAUGAGAAAUAUACCGAAUUAGAUUGGUUAUGAAGUACCAUAUCUUAGUGCAAGUGGUACACUCAUGUAUCUUGCAAAUACUACAAAGCCCGAUAUAGCCUUUCUAGUCAAUUUGUUAGCAAGAUAUAUUUCUGCUCCUACUAGGAGACAUCAAAAUGGGAUAAAACACAUGAGUUUAUUUUAUUCUAAAGAUUUCAGUCCCGAUCUUAUUGUUCAUGCUGAUAUUGGGUACUUAUCUGAACCCCAUAAAGCUCGGUCUCAAACAGACUAUGUGUUCAUAUGUGGUGGUAUUGCCAUAUCUUGGAGAUAUACCAAGCAGUCUAUCAUAGUCACUUCAUCGAAUCAUGCUGAGAUAAUAGUUAUUUAUGAAGUAAGCCGAAAAUGUGUAUGGUUGAGGUCCAUGAUACAUCUCAUUUGAGAAAAAUGUGGUGUGAAAUAUGGCAAUCCACCCACAAUUUUAUACAGAGAUAAUGCAGCAUACAUAGCACAUCUUAAGGGAGGAUUAAUAAAAGGAGAUAGAACGAAGCAUAUUCUGCCAAAGCUUUUCUACAUACAUAAGCUACAAAAAAAAUGGUGAUAUUAACGUGCAACAUAUCUGUUCAAGUAACAAUGCGGAUGAUUUAUUCACCAAACCUUCUCCAAUUGCAACUUUCAAGAAGAUGCUGCACAAGAUUGGGAUGCAAAGGCUCAAGGAUGUUCUCAUUAGGGGGAGUUGAUACGCGCUGUACUCUUUUUCCCUUACGAGGUUUUGUCCCACUGGAUUUUCCUUGUAAGGUUUUUAAUGGGGCAGCCUAUAUGCGUAUUGUUAGAGAUGUGUACUCUUUUUCCUUCACUAAAUUUUUUUUCUCACCGAGUUUUUUCUAGUAAUGUUUUAACGAGGCACAUUAUCUAUAUAGACAUUCAAGGGGGAGUGUUAUAAAUGUAUUUACAUUAUAGUGAAUGUAUAUCAAGAUCUAAAUAAGAUCUAUCAAGAUCUAGCUGAUAUCUAUCAGAAUUUUAAUAUCUGUUUUUUAGUCAGAAACUAGGAGUAUUUUUCACUAUAAAUAAAGGGAUUUUGUUCAUUAUAUUUUCAAGAAUCUUAUGAUCUCUUAUCCCUCAAAAGAAAUAAAGAAACCUCCUCUCUUCCCUCUCUAUUUAUUCUUGUUAUUCUUACUUUAUAUUUUAUAACACAUGGCGAGAAUUUGAAUUUAUUCUAUUUACUUGAAGAAGUAUUAAUUCAUUUUGUAUCUGUUUAUUCUUAUAAAUAGGAAAUACAUCGAAGAUGUAUUAAUUUAUGUUGUAUCUGUUUACUCUUAUACAUAGAAAAUAUAUAUAAAGCGAACAAAUACAUAGCGAACUGAUACACUAAAUUAUUAAUACGUUUGAUAAUUAGUCAAACUAUAGUUAUAAUUGAUAAUUAAAGUUCAAUUUAUCACUAUUUAUGGAAUUCCUUCUUUUAGAAAAGCUUUGCUUGUGUUUCAAAAUUUAAAAAGCACAUAUCAAGAUUAUUUUUUCUAAUGAAAACUAUUGUCUUGAAAAAAGUAAUUAUAAGCCACUUGGUAAGUGAAAACAAGUACUAUAUGAACAUGACUAAUUUAUGUUUCCGUUGCUUAGUGAGAAUUUUUUUAUAAGUAGAUGAUUUGUAUGGGAAUAGAAAUAAUCUUUUUCUUUAAAAGAAAAAAGAAACUUGAUGGAAGGAAUCGUUGUAAUCUAUUAAAAAUAAUCUGAGCCUAUUCUCAUUUAGACGUAUUUCAUGUGCUUGAAGUCGCACUAACACAAAGUAAUAUAUUUUUCUUUAAUUAAUGUGAUCGAUUAUGAUAUCCAUAAUCUUAUAAUGUUGAAUUCAUUUAAUUCAAAUGUCUUUCAGCCGAAGGGCCUUAAAGGAAUAUGAUUGAAGUGCAUUGUUUUUUUCUCCAUAAUUCAACUAAGCUCUCAUAUAGAUAUCCCAUCAAUUAUUUACAUAUAUAAUUCAAAUCCAACAGAUAAAACAAGUGAAAUGUGAGCCAAACUUUUCGAAACCUCAUCCAUUUGUCUCUAUGUUAACAUGAUCCAUGUUUGUUUGUUUGUUCACAUAUUAUGCUGCUUUGCCAAAUAGAAAAUUCCAACAUUUAUGCCAAAUCAAGUCUUUUUGUAACAAUUGCACAUGAAUGAAAGUAGUAAUCAAUAAUUAAUUGCCAAAUAUCACAAUCCUCUUCCAAAUUUAUCCUCAAAGAAAGAAAUAAAAAUAUCUGCUAAUGACAAAUUAAGGUCCUGUCAUUGAUAAUAGUUGUUAGGGGAAUUUAUACUAUAAUAAUAUACAUGGCCAACUGUCAUUUAAUUUCCAAAUUGACAUAGGAAAAUCCCAAUCUUCCCUUUUAUGCUAAAUUAUAAUGACACGUUUAAAAUUACAAAUUUCAAAUUCUUUUAAAAUUUGAUAUCAGAUUAAAUAGGAUAAUGUAAAAUAAAACGAAAGAAGUACAAGUUGGAUUGAUGGUGAGGAUCUGGAUUUGGUGCUACUAACUUUCAAGAAAGAGGAAAAAGAAAAAGAAAGAAAAUGGUUAGUGAUAUUCGAAAUUUGUUUUGUAAGGCUUAAAGGGGAAAAGAUUGGUGAAGUCAUUUUCAGAGUGCGAUAGGCCAACUAAGUGUAGUAACCUAAGUAUGAAUAAUGAACCAACUAAUUGAUAAGAGUGAUUUUAACUCUUUCAGAAUAAAUUCAUAUUCACUUUUGAGCAAUCAAUGAGUAACAUGCUCCUACACCCACCCACCAUCUUGCUCAAUCAAUAAAGUUAUUGAAAUGUAAUCAGAAGGUCAUGAGUUCGAGUUGAGGAAGCAGUCUAUCAUACAAUUUUUCACUCCGCUUAGCCUUAUCCCCCUCUAGGGGUAUUUUAGUGAUGAGUUCUAUAGGAACUGGACGCUCCUAUUUGAUCAAAUAACUCUUGUAGUCCGAUCCCUCCUCCAACCCCGCAUAUAGCGGGAACUUUAAUGUACGGGACCGCCUCAUUACACACUCUUGUUUUCUCCUAACAUUUUAAUUUCCAUUUCAUUAUACUACCUCCGUUUCAUUUUAGUUGACUCUCUUUCUAAAAAUAUUUUUUUUAAUUUAGUUGUUUCUUUGAUAAAAUUAAGAGGAUUUUAUUAUAUUCUUUCAAUACGACCCUCAAUAUUAAAUGACUAAACAAAAUGUAUUUACUCAAAUUUAUAUUUACAAAGUAUAAUUAAUAAAGCUAAUUUGAUAAAAAUAAAUCCCUAAUAGAUAUUUUCUUAGGAGGAGUGCUAAGCUAAAAAGGAUGAACUAUUUUGAAGUAAUCUUCUAAAGGGAAAGGUAAGACAAGAUAUUUUGCUUUUUCUUCAAUAAAUAGGUUCAAAACUACAAUCGAUGACCAGGUCCAGAAAGGAGUACACAAUUGGGCUUAUAUUCUUGCUUUUUGUUGAAUUUUCGCCGAUUGGUCCUUUUUAGAAUAAUUGGUCUUUUUAUUAUUCGCGCUUUGUAACUCAUGAACCUUUUGGAUCAUGAUUUAAAUAUCCCUUCCCUUCCGAACAAAUUGAAAGUUUUAUGGAAAACCUGUUUCAUAAUAAAUGAAUUGUUGGAUUUUAACAUACAUAUUAAGAAAAAAGCAUUAAAACAUAAAUUUAACAUAAUUUUUCAUUUUUACCCCAAAAAAAAAGAAAAAAAUUGACCUUGUAAUACCUUUUCAAAAGUUAAUUGGUUGUUAAAUCAUAAGGGCAAAUUUGGAAAAAAAAAAUCAAAGAUUCACUUAUUUUGAAACACCAAUAAAUACUCCAACAAUUCACUUAUUCCGAAACGGAGGGAGUAGAUCGUUGUAUAAAAUAUUAUUAUAGGUUAUCGCAAUUGCAAGACAACAUUCUAAUAUUUUAUCUGUAUGAUUGUGUAAUGCAUGACCAAACAUUAGUUCCGAGUCUGUACGAAAGGACAAUUUUCAAGGGCUAUACUUGUACGUGUUUAAUAAACUUUAAAAUUAUGGACUAAAUCUAUAUGGUGACCUAAAAAGGGAAAUAGGCCUUGAAUUUUAGGCCCAUAAAUAAGCCCCAAAAAAUCUUCUCCUCACAUUGACUGGGGAGUCUGCUCAAAGAAAAGCUCCAAUCUUCAUUUUGUAGGCUCAAUAAGGCUGUCAAGUGGGCCGGGUUGGGGUUAAGUAGGCCGGGUCAAUCCGGGCUCAACAGUAAAAUUUAUAAAAAUAACCAUAACCUGGCCCACUUAACUCAAUCCAGUCAAACCCAUCUAAACUCGGUCAAACCCGAUUAAAAAAUCGAUCAAAAUAUUAAAAAAACUUAUUUUCAAUAUACAGUAUAUAUACCCACUUAUAUACAUUAUAAAUACAUUAAACAAUACAUAUACACUAUAUAUAUAAUAUAUACUACAUUAGAAUUUUAAAAGUAUAUACACAUAUAUACGCACCAUUCAAUAUAUAUGUACUACUUUAAAGUUUAAAUAAAAUAUACUACAAUAUAUAUAUAUAUAUAUAUAUAUNNNNNNNNNNNNNNNNNNNNNNNNNNNNNNNNNNNNNNNNNNNNNNNNNNNNNNNNNNNNNNNNNNNNNNNNNNNNNNNNNNNNNNNNNNNNNNNNNNNNNNNNNNNNNNNNNNNNNNNNNNNNNNNNNNNNNNNNNNNNNNNNNNNNNNNNNNNNNNNNNNNNNNNNNNNNNNNNNNNNNNNNNNNNNNNNNNNNNNNNNNNNNNNNNNNNNNNNNNNNNNNNNNNNNNNNNNNNNNNNNNNNNUAUAUAGUUAUAUACUAAUUUAUAAAAUAUAUACACAUGUAUACGUUAAAUAUACACGUCUAUGGAAGAUACAAACAUAUAUAUACGCACCAUUCAAUGUAUGUGUACUGCUUUAAAUAAAAUAUACUACAAUAUAUAUAUAUACAUUACAAUAUAUAUAGUUAUAUACUAAUUUAUAAAAUAUAUACACAUGUAUACGCACCAUUCAAUGUAUGUGUACUGCUUUAAAUAAAAUAUACUACAAUAUAUAUAUACACAUUACAAUAUAUAUAUAGUUAUAUAGUUAUAUACUAAUUUAUAAAAUAUAUACACAUGUAUACGCACCAUUCAAUGUAUGUGUACUACUUUAAUAAAAUAUNNNNNNNNNNNNNNNNNNNNNNNNNNNNNNNNNNNNNNNNNNNNNNNNNNNNNNNNNNNNNNNNNNNNNNNNNNNNNNNNNNNNNNNNNNNNNNNNNNNNNNNNNNNNNNNNNNNNNNNNNNNNNNNNNNNNNNNNNNNNNNNNNNNNNNNNNNNNNNNNNNNNNNNNNNNNNNNNNNNNNNNNNNNNNNNNNNNNNNNNNNNNNNNNNNNNNNNNNNNNNNNNNNNNNNNNNNNNNNNNNNNNNNNNNNNNNNNNNNNNNNNNNNNNNNNNNNNNNNNNNNNNNNNNNNNNNNNNNNNNNNNNNNNNNNNNNNNNNNNNNNNNNNNNNNNNNNNNNNNNNNNNNNNNNNNNNNNNNNNNNNNNNNNNNNNNNNNNNNNNNNNNNNNGGAGUGAAUGAAUUUGGGGAAUUUUAUUGAUUGCAAAAUAAAAAAUUUAUAAUUUACAUGAAUGAAAAAUCUACAAACUAUGCAUCAUUUUUUUCAACUCAUUCAUGUUAAUAUUAACGGGAACUUGCAUAGGAUAGUCGAAGUCAACGGGGGCAAAACUAUGCAUUGGAUUUGAUUCUGCUGAGUUCUCCCGUGAAUACAUAAUUUCUUCAAGUUUCAGCUCGUCGUUCAACUUCGGUUCCAUUCCUUGGUUUCUUCUUUCCGCUCUAAUCCAAUUUUCGAGGCAAACUAGAACAUUCAUUGCAUUGCUUCCCAAUGAGUGUCGGUUGUCUCCAAGCUGUUGUUGUCUCUGACUAAAGGCGCUUUCUGAUGCAACAGUUGACAUUGGAACAUUCAAGAUAUCUCUAGCUAAUCUUGAAAGCACAGGAUAUUGUGUUUCAUUACUCCUCCACCAAUCUAACGUGUUGAUCCGUCGUCUGCGAUCCUCUGGCGGCGAUUGAAAAUAAUAGUUCACCUUUUCCCGAUAAGUUGAUGUGUAAACUCUCUCGUCAACACUGUUCCAACAAGGUAAAUCAUAAAAGGAAUCUGGAAAACCACUAUGAGCAUCACUUAUAUGUCUCAUUAACGUACCCGCACCCCCUUGCUUGCCUCCGCUUUUAUGCUUAUAUAUUUGUUGACAAAUAUUACAUUGCACCUCAGUAUCUAAUAUGCAUUCAAAAAAUUGUCAUGCAAUACUAGUUGUUUUACGAGGUCUUGGGUCUUGGGGAGGACGGGAAGGGAGAUUAACCGAUUUAGAUCUAACGUUAGCAUUUCCUAUAAUGGGUGUCUCACCAAUAUUUUCAUCAUCUUCGUCUAAAUUAACCGCAUCUACUUCAUUUUCUUCUUUUAUACCAUGAGAAAUUAGUUAAAUGAAGGAUUAACCGAGGAUGAUGAGAAAAGCAUAUCGCGUUUCAUUUCUGAACCAUAACUGUCACAGCUUUUGGACCAAAAUUAUUUCUGCUUCAACAGAAAUUUUAUCCUUUUCAUCACCGUACAUUCUGCCCCGGCAUUGCACAUCUAGCACAUGGAGAAGACAGCCAACAGAUCAACUAUUAAGAAGUUGAGGACUAAAUAACUUACAGACAUUUUUCCGAAAAUAAUGGAGAAAUCCAACGACAGGAGUGUAAAGUUCAAAAGCUUCUUUAUAUGAUACAACAACAUCAUACCCAGUGUAUUCCCACCUAGUGCUUUAUAUGAUACAAAUUGGAUCAAAAACAGACUACAUAACAGUGCUUGUUUUCAACUCAUCAUUCGCUAAAAACGUAUGUUUCAGAGAGUAAUGUAUAUGCACAAACAUUUGACCACGAAAAGUGUUCUUUAGUAUUAUCUUGAUUUGGCCAGGACAAUGUGGUAGGAGAGAAGGACAUACGGCAAAUUUCACAAUCAUUGCUGCUUCGAGAGAGAUUGAUAGCAGGAAUCAUACUCGUCAUUGCAGCUUUGUGUCAUUACAUAAUAGUUAUCUUAUCUGGGAAAACUAUUUACAAGGAAGUGUUGAUCUACUGCACAAAUCUAUAAUAACUGGUCCGAUGUAAGAUGAUCCAUCUCAGUUCAUGAAACUCAUCAUUCAUCGCAGUGACCUGCUGGAACAGGAGAAAGCAAUUUAAGAUGCUGACCUAAUCCGUCUACCAUCUGAUAAAUUUUGUCUGAUUUGACGUGAGAUUUAUCCAUCACCGUGAAUUCAUGGUAUUCAUCAUUCAAUUGUAACAAGCUAGCACCAGAUUGCUUUGGCCUGCCAAUGCUCUUCAUCAUCAACCUUAUGUUGGCGACAUUAUCCCAGUCUCCUGCUGAAGCAUAAAUAUUUGACAAUGCGGAAAGUUUUCCAGCAUUUUUAGGUUCUAACUUGACUAGGAGGUCACGCACGUCAUCUGCAAGUUCAAUGGCUUUAUGCAUCCUGCAAGCCCCUAAAAGAGAACCCCAAAUUUUAACGUUAGGUUCAAGUGGCAUCUUUCGUGCAAGUUCAAAAGCUUCUCUAACAUAGCCACCACGGCCUAAAAGAUCAAUAAGACAACCAUAAUGUUCUACUUCAGGUAUUACCCCAUAAUCUUUCUCCAUGGAGUAGAAAUAAAUUAUUCCCUCGUCCACCAAACCAGUAUGAUUGCACGCACACAAAAUACCAACUAACGUCACCUUAUCAGGCACAAAGCCUUCUUGUUUCAUCUUAACGAAAAGCUCAAGUGCCUUCUUUCCACGUCCAUGCAUAGCCAACCCAUGUAUCAUAGCAUUCCAAGAUACCAAGUCUCUUUUUUUCAGCCCGUUAAAGACUUUAUAAGCCUUAUGCAAACUUCCACACUUGGCGUACAUAUCAAUCAACGCAUUACAGACCAAAGUAUUACACUUGUACAUACUCCUCUCGACGGUAUCAUGCACUCUCACACCCAAACUAAGCAUACCCGAUUCAGCACAGGCAGCUAGAAUGCUAACAAAAGCUGCAACAUCAAGCCUCAAACCCGUCUCCUCCAUUUGCACGUACAACUCAAUUGCCUCAUUUACAAGACCCUUUUCAGCAUAUCCUGAAAUCAUUAUCGUCCAAGAGAUCAAAUUCUUGGAAGGCAUUUUAUCAAACAACAUCCGCGCCAUCUCCAAAUCCCCCGCUUUGCAAUAACCCGAAACCAUAGUGGACCAAGAGACGACAUCCCUCUGUGGCAUAUUCUUAAACAAUUCAAACGCCACACUCAUUUGCUCCGCCUUUGUAUAUCCAUCUAACAUAGUAUUCCAACUAACCCUAUCUCUUUCGGGCAUUUCAUCAAACACCUUCCGCGCUUCACUCAAAUCCCCCGCUUUCAGCAAAGCACCAACCAUGGAAUUCCAAGAAACAACAUCCCUCUCCUUCAUCCCCCGAAACAACUUCCCUGCAGCUCGAACACCCACCACCCCACACUUGGAAUACGCAUCAAUCAACGAAUUAGGCACAUAAAUAUCAUCCACAAAACCCCAUUUCACAACAUGUGUAUGAAUCAUACUCACUAAACUCAACCAACACUUCCCCGAACAACCCUUUAACAGAAACGAAAACGUAAAAUUAUCAGGAAAAAUACCAGCACACUGCAUAUUCAAGAAAGUCUCAAAACCCUUCAAUGCCUGAAAAUUACAAACAUAAGCUCUUAUCAAAGCAUUAUACAAGCGCACAUUGGAAUUAGACUCCCCCGCUUGUUCAAAAACCUUUAACGCAGAACCGAUUUGUCUACAAUUAGAGAAAGCAGAGAUUAACUUAGGAGCAAUAAAAGGGUCUUGUUGAAGAUGGGAUUUGUAUACUAAUGUCUGCAUUUGUUUGAGUUGGUUAAUGUCUUUGCAUUUGUCUAAGUCCCAUAAUUUCUGCUCGAAGUGUCUUCGUCUUGACACCCAUGUAGGUGCUCGAAUUGGUGUUGGCAUUUGCAUUUUGAAAAAUCGGAAUUUGGUGUUUGAUGGACUAAAAAGUUUAGUGGAAGUGUAAAUGAAUGUUCAGGGAACUGGCGCUUGUCGGGGAUAAGGUUGUAAGGACCCGUUUGAUAGUUCAUAAUCCCUGAAUUAAAUGCUGGAAUUUUUUAAUACAUUGUUUGUUAGUAAUUUUUAUGCUACGUAUAACUAAUACAUGGAUUAGUUAUACAUCGUAUAUGGUAUUAUAGAGUGUAUAAUUAAUACACUUAGGGGUAUUUGGCAGAGUGUAUUGAAAUAUUAAUACAUGCAUUAGUUUAAUGUGUAUUAAUAGUACAUUGUUUGAUAUACCUUUUUAUCCUAUGUAUAAUUAAUGCAAACAUUAAUUAUACACUCUAUUGUGUAUUGAGGUAUGUAUUAUUAAUAUCUCAAAAUUCAUGACAUUAGUAAUGCAAUGGAUCUAAUGCAUGCAUUAACAAGCUUAAAGACAUUAUUACCCCUCAAAAAAAUUUUCUCAUCCUUUCCAACAUAUAUAUUGAGUGUAUUAUGUAAAAAAUUUUUUUUUUUUAAAUCAUGUAAUUCAUAUUUUUUUUAAUACAUUGAACCAAACACUGCAUAAAAAAAAUACAAGCAUUACUAAUACACUAUAUUUUGCAUUAUUCUUAUACAAAUGCUAGAGUCGUUUGGUAGAGUGUAUAAGAUCAAUAUAAAAUAUGGUGUAUUAGUAAUGUUUGUAUUACUUAUACUUGCAUUAGUUAUGCAUGUAUUAUUUUUUAUACAUUGUUUGAUUUGAUGUAUAAGAAAUAAUACAUCUUACAUAAUUUCUAUAAAAGAAAUGUUUGUUAACAAAAAUACCCUUCUUUGAUUUUGUACACUUUUUUGCAAUAAUUUUGUUUUUUCAUAUCAAAUAUAAUUAGUAUUGUUGAACUAGUAUAUAGAGGUUUCAAAUUAAUUGCAACACCUUCGGCUUUGCACAUAAAAUAUUAUGCCAACGAAUUAACAUAGUUGAAACAAAAAUAAAAUAUAAGAUGUAAAGUUAAGAAAUAGUCUCAUUUUUUUUUUAUCUUUUUAAAGUUCUCAAAGCAAAGCAAAAAUAUGUUACAAUUAUUUAAAUCAAUUAUUCAUUGUUGUAGAUUAAAAUGGUGAAAAAAAUUGUGAACUGUUUUGAAAAGAUUCACUAUUGCAAAUUAAAAUGGCGGGAAAAGGAAUAGUGAAAUAUUUUGAGAGGAAAAUUGAGAGGUAUUAAGAUCAUUUAAUAAGUUAAUGCACGUAUUAAAGACUUUGCAUUACUAAGACAUAGAAAAUGGGUGGUAUUAGUAAUACACACCUUAAUACACAAUAGAGUGUAUAACUAAUGCUUGCAUUAGUUAUACAUUGACUAAAAAUUAUACCAAACAAGGUAUUCAUAAUACAUAUUAAUUAAUACAUGCAUUAUUUUUGUCAAUACACUCUACCAAAAGACCCCUUCAUUUGAUGGGAUUAGUAAUCCAUAGAUUACAAUCCUGACAAAUAUGUAUCAAGAUAAAAACGCCCUCAAAUUUCUUUAAUUUUUUUCUAAAUCUUUUCAAUUUAUUCAAUGUGAGUUAUUUCUUUUCAAUUUAUCAAUAUAAUAAUAUCCCUCCAAAUAAUUUUAGUCAUAAAAAAACUAUUCCAUUAACUUAAAAAUACUUAUUGAUCAAAAUCCGAAAAUAAAUUGCAUGAUUGCAUACAAGAUUUAAUUUUGUAAAUAGGAUAUUUAUAAAUAAAAAUAAUUUUUCAAAUUAGGUUUAACACUUAUGGAACACAAAUUUAUGUUAAUAAUAAUUCUAUUGUCUCAUACAAAAGUUACACGUAUCUCCCUUCAAUAUAAUAACAUCACAAAGUGGAAACAACAAAAAAAUGAUGAACAAUUUUAUUCCUUUUUUUAUAUAAAAAAAUUGUAAGUGAAUGAUUAAAUCUUAAAAUUCCAAAGUAUAUAAUUAGUUAUAUUUUUACUUUUUUUUUUAAAAAAAAAAAAGAAUAAUAAAAUUUUACAAAAAAAAAUACACAAAGUUAUAAUAUGUCAAAGGAUAUUUUUGUAAACAAACAAUAUUCUUUUUAAAAUAUAACAAUACAUAUUAUUUUUAAUACAUCAAAUCAAACUCUGUAUAAAAAUAAUUCUAGUAUUAAUAAUCUCUGUAUUACUAAUUCCUGCACUACUAAUCUCAACAUUACUAAUACAACUUAUUUAGUAUUAUCUUAUACACUAUACCAAACGACCCCUAAGAGAAAUAUCUUAACGUCUAAGGAGAAAUAAAGUAUAUUUGGGUUUACCAAAAAAAAAAAAAAAAGUAUCUUUGGGCUUUUUCCCCUCAUAAGUACUAUUCCCUCCGUUCUAAAUUACCCGUUUCAAAUUUUCUAAUUUCAUUUCUCAUUUUACUUAUAUUCUUUCAUUAAUCAGGACAAGACAAUUUUUUUCUCCUUAUAUCCUUAGUUAUUAAUUACUCCUUGUUACUAGCAUUGAAUUAUCAAAUCUUGAAAAAUGUUGUAAAGACAUUGGUAAUCCUAUAAUCUUAAUUAUCCAUGCAAAAAGUAUUUUGAUAUAAACCAUAUAAUUCUUCAUUAAUAUUGAAACUAACAGCAUGACAAAAUUAAUAAGGGUAAAAUGAUAAAAUUAUAUUAUCAAUCAUUAUUUUCUUAAUAGUUAUGUCAUCUUAAUUUGAUAUGGAUAAUUUGGAACGGACAAAGUAUUUUCUUCACAAAUUUUAAAUUUUCAUAAAUAAUAAGUAAUCAUCUGUCAGGAUUUACUUGGCAAGAGGAUUUAAGUAGACAACUAAAGUUAAAAAUUAUAUUUACGUUUAUAUAAAUUCAUUGAAAAUCUGAAACAAUGGUGAAUAUUACUGCUAUAUAGAAGUGUGAGUGAGCAACCAGCGUAAGGACACAACUAGCAAUUAUCAUGUCUACUUUCAGUUGUCUAUUUGUUCUGUGAUUUUACUGUAGCAUUUUUAAUUAAUUAUUAUAUGUUAUUUAUGUAUUAAAAAAUUAAUAAUAUUUUAAAAAAUUAAAUAUUUAUCACAUUUUUUAUUUUAGCUGCUUCAAUCGUAAUUUUAUUAUAUCACUCCUACCACGAGCCUCUCGAUAUCUAAUCUAUUAAUAAUUACAAAGAUAUGUUAUUUAUCGGUGCAGGGAUAUCUCAGAAUCUCAUUUAAAAAUUAUGAUUUGUCCAUUUGAUAAGAUUGCAUAAGAAUGGUGUUUUUUUUUUUAUAUAUAGUUUUCAUAAUUUUUUUAUGCUUGUGAGAAAAAUAUACUUUAAGAAAUUCAUAUUGUAUAUCUAGAAAAAAAAAAUUCAACUUCAAAUUAAUUUGAUCCGAACUAAAGUCUAAACGACGCAAUAAUAUAGGGUGAUAUUACAUGAUAAGAAUAAUUUUAUCAUAUUACAAUUUAACAAAUUCAGUGCAAAAAAAUUGCUAGAGAUAGGAAUUGAAACUGGGCGACUGGAGUGACUCAGCACACUCUUAACUAUUGGAUAGUUGCUGCCUUCCAUUGCCAUAUUACAAUUUGAAUAGAGAAAAUGGCCAAAAGAUCAUUCAAGCUUUACCUCAAAUCUCAACUACACACUUAAUCUUCACGGGAGUCCUAUCACCCCCCUGAUCUAUUUUUUCAUGUAUUUAUUACCUCCCUAAAUGUUGAGCUGACAACAUAAACCAAUUCAUAAUCCCUUCGUAUUUACACCCGCGGAUCCCACGUCUUCCAGGUCAUCUCCCUCCUAAAACCUAAAUGGACCCAUUAUCACCCGUUCAACUUUCUCUCUCUUCUCUCCUCUCUCUUCCUUUCUUCCCUUGACGAAUUUUUUCUCACUUUUACAUACGAAUUUAGCCUUUUUAGUUUGUGAAUCUUAUGUUACUGAUAAAGUUUGUGGAUUUUCGAAGAUCAAGUCAUCGAUUGCAGCAUUAACUUAGUAGAGGUUGUCAUUUCCCCCCUAAACUAUUGUCAUUAUUAAUUAUGGGUUGCCCUAAGCAUAUGGUGACUGCUUAGGAUGUGCAAAAUAAGUUGUGUUUCUUGCUAAAAAAGUUGUCUAACUUUUUAAUUAACAACAUAUUAAAUUCUUAAGGACAUCUCUACUUAGGGUUUUUGUUAAUGUUUUAAUGAGUUCAUUAAAAAAUAGGUUUUUUUUUAGAAUUUACUGUUAAUCUGAAAAAUAAAGCAAUAAAUUGUGUGUGGUAGUAUGUGCAUGUAACUAUUUUGUUGUUUAGGUGUUCAAUUUGUACCGAAGUAGAACAAUUUUCAUGUAAUCAAUUCUUAUCUUUCUCAUCUUAGUCGCAUAAUGUGAUAGAGACUAAUGUGAUAUAAAUUUGUGUUUUUUCUUCAUUGUUUAAGCAUGAUGUAGUUAUAUUAAAGUUUGUUCAUGCUUGAUUUUUGAUAAUAUAUCUGCUAUGUUUCUUUGUCUUAUUUGAGUGUUUAUUUUCAUCAGGUCAAACAUGAGUGAUUUUACUUUGAUUAUUCUAAGAUGGUAUCAUGGUGGAGUGUUAGAUUUAAGUACUGGAGAACCAGUUUACAAAGGUGAAAAAAUUACAGAAUUCUUAGAUGUUGAUGUUGACAAGAUAUCAUAUUUUGAAUUGAGAGACUAUCAAAGAAAUUUAGGAUAUAGCACAACAUGUACCUUUCGUAUUAAACCACCUAAUAGUGGCAUUUUGGUAGAUGUGGACAAUGAUAUCGAUAUUUUUGAAAUGAUGUGUUCCUUGAAAAAUGGAGAUGAAGUAGAUGUAUUUGUCAAGUAUUUAGUGGAUGAACCAAUUGUUGUGGACCCCCCAAAAUUCUUAGAAAAUGGAAGUCUUGAGAAUAUGGAGGAAUCUGGUGCAUCUUUUAAUAAUAGGCCUAAAUUUAUGGUAGGUGAGGAUCAUAUAAAUGAGGAGAACCUUUUUACUUCUUUUUCAACUUCACCCCUUUGCAUUACCACACCUCAUUUUAUAGUGCUACUGCAUAUAGUGCUUCAGCACCUAUUAUUGCACCUAGUAUGCCUACAUCUACUGUUGCACCUAGUGUUGCUACAUCUACUGCUGCUCCACCUAGUGCUGCUGUAGUUAGUGUUGCUUCACCCAGUGCUGCUGCAUCUAGUGUUGCUGCAGGCAGUGCUGCUGCAGUUGAUGAUAUAGAUGAUGGUCCUGCUGGAAGUGAUUUCUCAGAAGAAGAAGUAGAGGGUUCUGAUUACUCUACUAAGGAUAAUGCUGAAUUAGAAGAAGAAUUAGUUUGAGAUGAUGAUGACGAUGAAAAGUGUGGUAGUAAUGUACAUGAGGAGGUUAGGGAGUUGAGAGCUGAAAAGAGGAAGUUUUAAAGGAGAAAAAGAAAAGAGAGAGUACCAGCUGACAAUGCAGAGGUACCAGUAGGUGAAGCAGGACCAGAUCUAGGGUUUCAUGACACUGAAACAGGUAAAGUAAGUCAUGAAGGAAGGUUGGGUGGUGAUGAGCCUUACUUUGCAAGUUCUGAUGAGGAUAGUUUUGAGUUAGAUAAAGAUGAUUAUUGUGGUGAUGAAGAACAUGAUGCUCUUGCAUCUGGUUGGACAAGAUCUGUUAAGUUGUCAGGGACAAAAAAGGCUAACAUCCCAGAAAAUCAUUCAUGACCCAACCGCAAAGGAAGUUGUUUGGCAGUUGGAUAUGGUGUUUAAAGAUGUGAAUGAAUUUAGAAGAGCUGUGACUAAAUAUGCAGUAAAAAAGAGGGUUGUUGUGGAGAAGUGGGUAAAUGAAUCAAAAAAGGUUAGAGUCAAAUGCAAGGAUGAUUGUCCAUGGCUUUUGUAUGCAGGUCUUGACAAUACCAUAAAUGACUUCAUCAUAAAAACUUACAUUCCAAAACACACUUGCAACAAGACAACCAAAAAUUAUUUGUGCAAUGCAAAAUUUUUAGCUGAAACCUUUAGAGAGAGAAUAAUUGAGCAGUCAAAUAUAAGGAUAUUCAAUCUGCAAGAGUUGAUAAGGAAAAAAUUCAAACUGCAUAUUGGUAAGACUACUGUGAGAAGAGCAAUAACUAAAGUGUUGAAAGAUAUCAUGGGUGAUCAUGUUGUAGAAUUUGGAAGAAUUCUUGACUACAAGGAUGAGCCGCUGAGGACAAAUCUAGGGACAAGUUGUGUUGUUAAACUUGGUGAGGCUAAUGAAGAAGGUAAACCAAAAUUUCUGAGUUUCUACAUCUGUUUUAAUGCUUUGAAGAAGACAUGGGUACAUUGUAAGAAGUGUAUAGGUUUAGACGAUUAUUUUCUUAAAGGAAUUUGUAAAGAGCAAUUGUUAGUUGCUGUUGGAAAAGAUGGUAAUAACUAGAUGUUGCCACUUGCUUGGGCAGUAGUUGAAAAGGAAAACACAAACAUAUGGAGUUGGUUUGUUAAGCGCAUAAAAGAUGACCUAGGACUUGGAGAAGAAGAAGGUCUCACAUUGAUUACAGAUAUGCAGAAGGUAUGUAUUCUGUACUAUGUGUACUUAUUUUUCUAGUUUAGCCAAAUAAAUGUAAUUAUGUAGUAAUUUUACUGCAAUUGAACAGGUGUUACCUCAAUCUGAGAAUAGAAGAUAUGCAAGACACAUCUUAGCUAAUUGGGCUAAGGAAUGAAGAGGUCUUCAAAGAAGACAACAAUGUUGGAGGAUAGCCAAAAGUACAUUUGAGUCUCAAUUGAGGAAAAACAUACAAAAGAUGAAGUUGCUUGGUCCUACAAAAAUGAUUGAUCACUUAAUGUACUUCAACAUUAAUUACUGGUGCAAGUUUUACUUCAACACUGAAGUGAAAUGUGAUUUUGUGCAUAAUAACAUGUCAGAGUGUUUUAAUGCAUGGAUCUUACCAGCUAGGCACAAAACCAUCAUUACCAUGCUUGAAGAAGUCAGAGUAAAGCUGAUGACAAGAAUAAGCACUUUAAGGGCGUUUCCAAAUACUUGAAAGUCCAAUUACUCUCUAAUGUGUUUAAAGAUUUUAGAGGAAAACAUCAAUAGGUCUAUGGAUUGUACCAUUUAGUUUAAUGGAGUUGCUAGUUUUGAAGUGAAAGAAGGACUUUGUCAACACAAAGUUGAUAUUGUCAAGAGAACUUGUAGUUGUAGGGUAUGGCAGUUAAAGGGCAUACCAUGUGCACAUGGUGUGGCUGCAAUAUUGUUCAACAAGUACUCUCCGUAUGAAUAUAUUGACAGGUGCCACAGUAAGGAAACAUAUUUGCAGACUUAUGCCAAUGUUCUUCAACCACUUACAAACAUGAAAAUGUGGCCAGUUUCUUAAAAUAUUGAUGUUGCACCACCUGAAAUCACAACCUUGUCUGGCAGGCUAGCUAAGAAUAAGAAGAAGGAAGUUGGGGAAACAAACAAGUCAAGAAAAUUGCCUAGAAUUGAACUAGCAAUGACAUGUAGUGUGUGUUAUAUUAGAGGCCACAACAAAAGGGGUUGUCCUCACAGAGCACCAUCAGCAGAACCAACUGCACCAGUAGUAGCAACAGCUACUGGUUCAAGCAGGGGAACUAAUUUUUUCACUUGAAUUCAUUAUGUUAUACCAGUAUUCUAAUUGUUAACAAUCUUUUUUAAUAUGUAGAAAACUCCAACAGAAGCAACUAAGGCUGCUCCUCAAGGAAAAAAGGAUGGUUCAGGCAGGGGAAGAGGAAGACCAAAGGUAAUUUUUUCACAUGAAUUCAUUAUGUUAUAACACUACUCUAAUUGUUAACAUUUUUUUAUAUAUAGAAAACUCCACCAGAAGCACCUAAUGUUGCUCCUCAAGGAAAAAAGUAAUGGUUCAGGCAGGAGAAGAGGCAGACCAAAGGUAUAUUAUGAUUGAAUUUAGUUCUAAUUUUCUCAAUUCAUAACAUUCUUUUUAUAUUUAUAGAUAAUUUCAUUAGAAGCCAUUACUGAACCUCCACAAGCAAAAAAAGAAAGAGGAAGACCCAAAAGAACAAUUUCAGUAGGUGCUACUUCAACUCCUCUACCUACAGCACCUCCAGUACCUAUUAUUUUUCCAGCAUCCUCUUCUGCACCUCCUGAUUUUUGUACAUCAUCUUCAAUAGAUGAAACUACAAAAAGAGGAAUGGGUAGUGGUAGGGGAAACACUACUUCGUUCAAAAGGCAAAGAGUAGCAGGAAUAGGUGUGUUUCAAGCUGAAAAUGACUUUAAAGUCCUAAAUGUAAGUCUCUUACUUUGUUAUAUCAUUUGUAAAUUAUAAGUCAUUGAUAUAUGUUGAUUCUUAAGCUUUUUUAUCCUUUUCUGUAGCCUGACAUGCCUAGCAGUAAGAUAUACUCUACUAGUCAAGUAAAGGUGGCAAGAUAAGCUGAUGUAACUGGUGACAUUGGUUAUACACCAAGUAGUAUCAGAAAAUUAAAAUGGAACGGCAAAUCAACAAUUUUAACAAGAAAACUACAAGAACUUAAAGAGAAUAGAAGAAAGAAGAAAGUGGGAAGUAGUUCAAAUCAUCCAAGUCAAAAUACUGCUUCUUCACAGUCCAACAUGCCAUGAAAAUUGUAGUGCUAUUGAUGUAUUUUAAUCACUGUUUUAAGUUAGUUCAGUUGACAUAAAAACAAUUUUAUUUCAGUGUUGAAAAAUAAUUUAAACACUGUAUUUUGUUGACUAAUGUUGCCUAAUGGUUAGGCAUUAUGAAUGUGAAUAUAUUUUGGUAUGAAUGAUGAUGUGUGAAGUUGGAAUGUUUUGUUGAUGAAUGUUGUCAUUAGGCAUUAUUGUUGUGUUGUUUAAAUGGUGGUGAUGUUGCUAUAAUGUUAACACAACAUUACCAUUGCACUAUCUAAGUGUAAAGAAAAACAUAGCAUUAGAACAAUGCUUUGCCUAAACAACAUUAUCAUUACACCAGUUUGUACGUUUAAAUGACAGCAACACAAUACACAACUUUGCAAGUGUAAACAAUAACAUUGCAACAACACAAGACACAACAAGUGUAAACAAUAACAUAGCAGCAAUACAGGACACAAUUUUGUAACUGUAAACCACAACAUAGCAAUACAAGACACGAUUUUGUAAGUGCAAACAAUAACAUAGCAGCAACACAACAAACAUCAGAAGUACAACUACGCAAAAACAAACAUAUGGAGUACGACUAGGCAAAAGACAACAUAACAUAACAUAAUCUGAUAUAUUUAGAGAGAGGGAUACAAAAUUUACACCAUAUUAGACCAUAUCUAGCAACUACUUUCAGUUCAUUUGCUGUUGAUGAACAUAACAACAAUAAAAAUCAAAAUACAUAAAAAAAUCUUCCUAUUGAACCUACACCAUCUCCAUCUUCCAUUGCGCCUCUUCUCCCACGUCAAGUUAUCAAUUUGGACCUGUUUAAGCCAUAAGUCUUCUUCCAACUCAUUGAUUUUGUUCACCAAUCUUGAAAUGAUAAAAUUUGAUCUUGGAUCCACUUUUUCUUUGUCCCUCCAUAGAAAAAAUUACAUUUUUGAGACUGAAAUUUUUUGUAGAAAUUAGUACAUUAGCAUAAUUUGAAUAUAAAGUAACAGCAAAAUACAAUGCAAAAUACAUACACCAUAGUUGGGGUAAGACCAAAAUCUUCUUCCCAGAUUAGACUUCUACCAUGAAGUUUGCAAGUCAAGCAAGAUACCAUGUUUGCAUCUCACAACAGCAUUGAACAUUGAGUCUGAUUCGUUCAUACAAAGCUUAUUCAAUUUUGAAUUUGUCAUUUCAUGAAUUCCGACAAAAUCUAUCAUCAAAUUACAAACACUAAAUUAAGAGUUGAACAAAAUUACAAAACAAAGCUCCAAGAAUUCAAGUAGAAAAUGAGAUUGAAAUUUAAAACGUAGGUUAAAGAAAUAAAAAAAUGGAGCAAGAUGAAG